RNAcentral lists this long non-coding RNA (64443 nucleotides) under Brachypodium distachyon (stiff brome). RNAcentral's name for it is "long non-coding RNA (BDIS_LNC005679)". The stretch from base 42609 to 42733 matches the Rfam family "MIR1120/MIR1122 microRNA precursor family". Lineage: Eukaryota; Viridiplantae; Streptophyta; Magnoliopsida; Poales; Poaceae. The record is from RNAcentral.
GUGUGUGUGUGGUUGAACUACUGUUCCGCUAUCUGAUGAUUGACAGCAGUGGAAUACGAUCAUUUUGAUGCUCCAAAUGGAAGUAUCAAUUGCAUUUUGCGUCAUGUCCUGUCAGACAUUGUAUUUUCUCUACUAAAUAAAAUUUGCUCUGUUAACAUACGGUUACGGUAAAAGCCUCUUAUUUUUUUAGAAAGACGGUACAAACCCAGACGCUCGGACACGCGCAUACACUCACCCCUAUGAAUGCACGCACGCACACCCACCCCAUGAGCAUGUCCGAGAGACUGAGCCUGCAGUUCUUGAGAGAUUGAUGAAGUCAGCGCAAACGUCUCGCUGUUGGCGGGUACGUCACCUACCACUGAAAGAAAAACGUCGGUUAAAUAUGAGCAUCUAUAUCAAGUCUAUGACUUGAACCUGUGUGGGUUGAUUCCACCAAAGGGAACCACACCACGUGAGCUAAGCUCAGCUCACAAAGCCUCUUAUGUCUGUUUAGUUGCUUUUCAUGUUUCUUGAGAACUUGCGCACAUUUAUAACAAUGGCUCUCAAAUAAACAACAAAAGAACAUUGGAAGACAGGAAACCUCGCAUGUCGAAAAAGAGAUGAGAGAGGCUCCCGUCCCCCCCCCCCAGCGGCGUCUCGCCCGGCGGCGAUGGCGGCCGCCCGCCCACGCCCCACCCCCGCCCCCGACCACUUGCCGCUGCCUAACCCCUGCUCCCCUUCGUGGUCCACGCCGGUCCGCUUCUCUUGUGCCGACGCCUGCGAGGACGAGGAGGAGGGGGAGUUCGUCCCCGACUCACUGCCGCCGACAGGCCCGCUGGAGCUUCCCCUGACUGUCCCCGCUCCCCCCAACCAUGCCCCUGACCGGAUCUACGUUCCACCACACCGGAGGCCUGCACCCGUGUCCCCUGCUGGCUUCAAUUCAGGAUCUCGCCCAGCUGCCGCAUUUACUGUAGAUCUCCCCCCUCCACCGACCGGUUCCCCACCACGCGGCCAGGCUAGACUCUUCAAUGCGGCUGGAGGUGGGUGGACUCUGCCGCCUCCGCCUGCUGGGCAGCCUCCCUGCGGACAGCCCCGUCUUCAAGCCAACGCGCAUUCAACUCCCUCGCAGACGGUUGGUGAGGCUUGGCAGCAGGUCGGGUCACACCGCCGCUCGCGAAAAGACCCGCCUUCACUCCGACGAGAUGGGUCUGCUCGUCGUACGCUCGGCACCGCUCGGCUUAGAGGCCCUCGUAAUGCCAAGGCACAGGAGCGAUUCCUGGAGUUCAAAAGGCGCACUUGGGGCCGUUGCUUUCGCUGCCUAGCUCGCGACCACCGCUCCUCCACUUGCCGUGAGAUCCUCCGCUGCCUCGAGUGCCAUGGGCGCGGCCACGGCGCUCGGGAGUGCCGGCGACCACCUCCUCCUCGCGCUGCUGCUCCUUCUCCACCGCCCCUGCAUCGCACGGUGUUCGGUUCCUGCUCCUGGGCUGCCGUUGUUGCUUCGGCGCCUGCUCCCCAACUGCCGUCGUUGCGCCUCCAACCGCGGGCUCCUCCCCCACCACACCAGGCCAUGGCGCAACAAGGACUUGGGGCGCCGGACACGCGCCCGGAUGAGGACACCUGCAUCAUCCCAUUCUCCUUCAACAUCGACAACAAGUGGGAGACUACGGCGGCCAUCGCCUGGCCUAUCAACGCGCCGCGGCGUCUGGAGGCCAUCAACGUCGACCGUGCCAUCUGUGCCGAGUUCUGUCUCAGCCAUGCCGACGUUGCGUCACCCCACACCACCCUCCACAGUUCCUGGUCAAGUUUGUGCAUAAGGCACACUACGACGAGGUGCUUCAAAAGGGGCGGGUGUCGGCUCGGGGCACUGCCGUCCAGAUUAGGCUCUACCGGCCCCUAGAGCACGCCUUCGUCGCUGCCAUGGCCUUCCGGGUCCAUCUUCGCCUGGAAGAAGGUCCCUGCCUUCGCUUGGACCCCGUGCAUCGUCGAGCACAUCAUCGGUCGUCGCUGCUCCUUCGACCGGCUGGACAGGCAGUCCGUGUUCAUGGAGAAGACGGACACCCUCGACCUCUAGGCUUGGACGGCGAACCCAAGCAAGAUCCCCAAGGUGGUGUCGCUCACGUUUAUGGGCCGCUCCCUGAACGAGCGCGCCUCUGAAAUCCUCGUCACCGACUACAGGCCAUCAGGCGUCAAGCCCGGCACCACCUUCCGUGUCAUCGUCCACCUCGACACGGUCGAAGACUACACCACCGCCCCCCUGGGCUAUGAGCGGCAUGCUGGAACGCCGCCCCUCUUCAAGCCACGAGUCAACACCUUCAAGUGCACCUUGGGACAGAUCGACGAAGUCCCGUCGGCAAACGACGCUGCCAAGGAGACGCGGGACGACGCCGACUCGCGGAACAGGCGCCACAGCAACCGGGGGAACGACCAUCCGCGCCAGGCCCCUCGCCGCCGUGAUGACGAUGAGGAUGAUCAUCGUGGACGUGAAUCUCCCCGCCGCCCCUGGCAUGGAUCGGGGGACAAUCUGCUGAUUGUCCGCCGGGAGCGCACGCGCUCUCCCAAGCGAUGGGACGCUGAGUCCAGUCACCAUGGACGUCGCCGCGACGCCGACGACACUGACGAGCCCAGGGCCUCGGACGCGCUGGGCCGCCAGGCCGCUGACUAGGGGUUGCAGGCCCUCUUCUUUGCGCAGGCCAAGGAGAUCCAAGCGGGUCUGCGGGCCCAUGCCGCCAACAAGGGAAGUGAGGAGCUCCAAGGACUGCUGGACCGUGCUCGCCACUACCUCCUGCGGGCGGAGGCUGCCAUGGCUAGCCUGGGCCUGGCGUCCCAUGCGACUGUGACACGCCCGGGCUCCCCGGCCGCGGCCACGACGAUGCCUGCUCGGCCCACGCUGCCAUCUCCACCAUGCCGGAAUGAAGCCCGGUUCGUCUCCGUCGAGCCUGCGCCUGCCUCUCCGCCGAUCGUGGCCCCGGCCGCGAUGGACCUCUCAGCGGUCUUCGCGGGGAUGGAGUUGGCUACUCGGGCGGCGGCUUCACCGAUGAUGUUGCCUUCCUGCUCGGCGGAGGACGCGCCUCCACAGCAUGACCCCUCCCUCCACUGUGGAUGUGCAGGUUACUGAAGAUACCGUGGAUUGCGUUGCCGAGUCUCCUGUGCAUGUCCCUGACGUUUGUGUGCAGGUUCCUAAUGCCCCCACGGCUCUCAUCGACGGUCGCCCUGUCAGUGGCGUUGUCGAGGACACCGAGGCCGACACGGAGGUGGGCUCGGAGGGGCCGGACGACUGCACCCUCGCAAGCUUCCUUGCCGCCAUCGCCAAGCCGACAGCUGUGCCGAUCCUCCCUUCGCCGACCCCGUCUGCGCCAACCACGAACAGGGAGAUCCCGCCUGCUCCCCCCAGACGCAGCGGAUGCUUGGCUUCCAAGAAGAAGACGAUGUCCUGUUCUGCUGCUGUCGAGGAGCUUCUCGCGCGCGUCUGCGGUCUCAUGGACCCCGAUGCCACCUUCGAUGACAAGAGCCGGGACGCCUACGUGUCGCUAUUCAAGACGCCGCUCUCGGCCCCUGUGAUCCACGCCAUUGAAACCUUGGUCAAGAAGGUGAAUAAGAUUAGAAGCAAGCCGAAGGGAACCAAUCGCAAGGCUGCUGCUUCAAAGAGGCUUCCUAUUGCUGAUGAUUAGUGCCUGCUACCAAAGGUGGUGCGUGCCCGGCCUGUGUGUAUGUCUCUGCAUGUUUGUAUCCCUAGGAUUCCCCAAGCAGAGGGGGUGUCGCUCAUGUUUGUGUGUCGUCGUACUUCAUUAAGCCUCUACUAGUUGUUCACGAUGUUUCCGACUUCGGCCGCUGAGCCGCUGCACUGCGCUACUAUGUUGUUAUGUCGAUUCAUAAUGUUAACCUCCUGUGUUGGAACGUCAGAGGCCUCAACAACCCGGCUCGCCGCUCCGCGGUCCGUGACAUCAUCCGCGACACGCAUGCCACUGUGGUUUGCAUCCAAGAGACGAAACUCCAGCUCGUCGCUGGACGCCUCAUCCGUGACAUUCUCGGUCCCAAAUUCUGCAACAACUUCGCCACUCUUCCUGCCGCAGGGACCCGCGGUGGGAUGAUCAUGGCUGUCUCUGAUGAUUUCUUCGUGCUCUCUGGCAUUCAUUUCACUACUCACUCGAUCACGGCCACCGUCACUAUGCGCAGCGAGGGGAUUCCUUGGUCCUUAACGUUGGUUUAUGGGCCCCAGAGUGAUGCCGAGAAACUCCUUUUCAUCGACGAACUUAGGCUACUGGAGCCGGUGGUGAAGGCGGAAUGGGUUCUUUUGGGCGAUUUCAACAUCAUCACUAAGGCCGCGGAUAAGAACAACACGAACAUCAACCGUCGGCUCAUCGGCAAGUUUCUGGGGCCUCUGAAUUUCCUGCAGCUCAAGGAAAUUAGCCUAGGGGGGCGAUGCUUCACCUGGUCGAAUGAGCAGGAAAACCCGGUGCUCACAAAAAUCGACCACAUCUUCUGCACUGACGAUUGGGAUGUGUUGUUUCCGAACGCUCUCCUCCAGGCGGUGCCAACGUUUUGCUCCGACCAUGCUCCCCUAUUCCUCCAGGGGGAGCCAACCCGAUGGCAUCGCCCGUCUUUCAAAUUCGAACAGUUUUGGCUGCAGAUGCCUGGCUUUCAGGACACGGUGGCAGGUGCGUGGAACAAGCAUGUGGUGGCCCAAGACGCCCUCCGCAGGAUCCACAUAAAGCUCAAUCGCGCGGCUAAGGCUCUUAAGAAGUGGCAGAAGGAGCGUUUUGGUUUUUUGGACUAUCAAUUGGCCAUUAUCAAGGAGGUUAUUUGGCGCAUCGACAUUGCCGAGGAAGAGCGACCGCUUUCGAUGGAGGAAUGGGGGCUGAGACGGCACCUCAAGAACAACUACUUGGGUCAUCUCUCUGUUCAAAAGGUCAAAUUGCGGCAACGCUCCAGUCUUGCUUGGAUCAAGACAGGGGAUGCCAACACCAAACUUUUUCACAUCCGAGUGAAUGAUAGGCGAAGGAAGAACUUCAUUCAGCAUCUCCAAACGCCGUAAGGGAUGGCCAUCACUCAGGCUGACAAAGAAACGGAGCUUCAUUCCCACUUCCAGAACCAUCUUGAUGCGGCGCACGUCAAAAAUGAGACUCUUGACUGGACUGCGCUUGGCUACCAACCGGCUGACCUGUCUGCUCUUGAUGCUGAUUUCUCCGAAUCUGAGAUUAAGGAGGCAAUCUUCGCCAUGCCCUCUGUCAAAGCCCUCGGCCCGGAUGGCUUCAUUGGUGCCUUCUUCAAGUCCUGCUGGGAGACCAUGCAUUAAGAGUGAUGUGGUGGCGGCCAUCCUCCAAAUGGCGGAGCUACGAGGAGACUGCAUGCACCUGCUCAACUCGGCAAACAUUAUUCUCUUGUCAAAGAAGCCAGAUGCCGCUCGGGUUGGCGAUUACCGUCCCAUCAGCUUGAUACACAGCAUGUCCAAAAUUUUCUCCAAGCUGUUGGCUUUGAGACUUGCCCCGGAGCUGGGAUUGUUAGUGUCCAACUGUCAAAGCGCGUUCAUUAAAAAACGGUGCAUCCAUGAUAACUUUCUCUUCAUCCAGAAUUCAAUCAAGGCGCUUCACUCCUCUAACACGCCAAGUCUAUUCCUCAAGCUUGACAUCUCAAAGGCCUUUGAUUCUGUCAACUGGGCUUACAUUCUGGAAGUGCUGAAACAACUUGGCUUUGGCCCACGCUAGCGGAAUUGGAUUUGUAAUUCUUUCGCUUCGUCCUCUUCGCGGGUCCUCCUCAACGGCUUCCCGAGAACCCCCUUCCGGCAUAAGCGGGGUUUGCGCCAAGGGGAUCCCCUCUCCCCCAUGCUCUUCAUUUUAACGAUUGAUCCCCUCCAGAUCAUCCUGCGCCGGGCGGAGGAGUGCGGUGUGCUACAACGGGUCGGGGCCCGGCCGGUACGCUGCAGGAUAUCAUUGUACGCGGAUGACGCUAGCAUCUUCGCCAACCCUUUCAAGCAGAAGCUUGCGACCAUCUCGGCGAUUCUGGAGCACUUCAAAAAUGCGAGUGGCCUCAUCACGAAUGUUUCCAAGUCUGAGGUUUUUCCCAUCAGAUGCGAGGGCAUCGACCUCACGGACAUUCUGGACGACUUUCCAGCUAAAAUCUUGGCCUUUCCCGGCAAAUACCUGGGACUCCCCCUCCACUUCCAUAAGCUGCGCAAGAUUGAUUUCAACCUCUCAUUGAUAAGUUUAGGGGUCGCCUUGGGGGUUGGAAGGGCAAGAACCUCUCCCGCGCCGGCCGGGUCACUCUCGCCAAGUCCGUCCUCACCUCCACGGCCACGUACCAGCGCACCGUGCUUAACCUUCCUAAAUGGGUUAGGGCCACACUCGACAAGAUCACCAGGGGUUUCAUUUGGAAAGGCGAGGAUAGCGACACUGCGGGCGGCGGCCAUGCGCUCGUCAACUGGAAGACGGUUUGCAGGCCAAAGGACCUUGGUGGCCUGGGAAUGGCUGACCUUGAGCGGUUUGGAAGAGCUCUUAGUCUUCGCUGGCCUUGGCUUAGGUGGACGGAGCCAGAUAGGCCUUUGGUUGCUCUUGUCUUCCUUGCGACAACUCCGACAUGGCCCUCUUUCGUGCUCCGACCCGCGUCUCUAUCGGGGAUGGUAAAACGGCUCUGUUCUGGCAUGACAAUUGGAGCGGUGGGGGGCCCUUGUGUUAUCGCGCCCCGGAGCUUUUCAAGAUCGCGUCCAGGAGGAACAGGACUGUUCACAAGGAGCUUCUCCAGGACAACUGGAUUCAUGCAAUCAGUCGGCUUUUGACCGUUGCCCAGCUUCAGGAGUUUGUUGACCUGGCUUCGAUGCUCAGCGACAUCACUCUGGAUCCUCAACGCGCUGACUCCAUCACUUGGAAUUGGACCUCUGACGGUAUCUACUCUUGUUGGUCCACUUACCUUGCCCAGUUCAUUGGCUCCCACUCGAAGUUCUUUGCUUCUAAGAUUUGGAGUGCUCAUAUUGAGCCUAAGUGUAAGAUCUUCUCCUGGCUCCUUCUCCAGAACCGUAUCCUCACCGCCGACAGGCUUGCUAUUCGUGGAUGGCCCCAUGACCCGAUCUGCCAGCUCUGCUUAGGGGCGCCCGAAAACUCUACCCACCUAUGCAAGGACUGCCAAUUCACAAGGAGUGUUUGGCGUCUUGUGGCCGAUUGCACUGGGGAGUCCGCGGCCCCGGUUGACGGGUUCGGUUCCAUCGAUGGCUGGUGGGAGGCCUCGCUCCAGCAUGCGGGCAAGGUUCCGAGGAAAAGAAGAAGCGGCCAUCUCAUCUACGUCUGGUGGAAUGUUUGGAAGGAACGGAACCGACGAAUCUUCAACCAUACGCGCCUUACCUACGUUGAGGUCGCCCAUCUUGCGGUUGAAGAGAUAACCAGCAAAACUUGGCCUUCGGUUUGCCUACCGAUGGCUUUGCCAUUGAACCAGAUUAGAGUUUGUUCUUUUGAUUGUGGGUUUGGCAUGCUACCCUCUUAAAAAAUUGCCCCCUUUAAAUAUUCAUCUAUUUCUUCUUAACGAAAAGGUAGCGCUCCUGUCCGUUCCUAAAAAGAAAAGAACAUUGUGGAAUGAUCAAAGUAGAUCCUGCAGCAUGCUAUCCCUACUGCUACAAGAAAAAAGUAUCUCGUUGGCAGCUGGCACAGUUUCUAUUUUCUACUACUUACAUGCAUGGGCUCGCCAAGUUAAUGUAUAAUUAAUCUUGGCUUAAGGGGAGAGCACACCAUGCACACUGAUAUGCCAGAGAGAUGAAUUGAAUUAAUCAGGCGGUCCUCUCCAUCAUCUCGCAGAACCUCUUGAAUGACUCGAGCUUCUGCAGCUUGAGCUGCUUGUGGAUCCGGCGGAUGAAGACGUCGGCGACGUGGUCGAUCUCGUCUUCCAGCUUGAAUUCGGCUCCAUCUCCGUCCUUCUCCUUGGCGUCGCGCACCACGUCGAUCACCGACCCCGGCGCGUUCACCAGCUCGUCGUCGUCCUCCUCCUCCUCCUGGAACAGCGAGUGCGUCAGGUAGUCGUCGUUGUCUUCUUCUUCCUCCUCCUCCUCAGCGUCGCGCUCCGUCGUCGCGUAGCUCGGCGAGUUGUAGAGCACGAUGGCCUUCUUGCUGCUGCCGCCGUCGUCGUGGUGGUGAUCUUCAUGUUGAUUGUUGUUGUUGGCGUCCUGGCCCAUGAGGGCGUGGAUCUUGUGGUUGAUGGCGCUGACGAGGAGCUUCUUGUUCCGGAGGAUUCCGAGCACCAGGAGGCGCGUCUUGAAGGCGCUCGUCUUGGCGCGCACCGCCGUCGACUUGGACUUUACCACGGCCACGAUGGUCGACAGCAUGUGCUUCAAGAACGUAGACGCCUUGCUCUUCAUCUUUAUAAACUCAGCAGUAGUAAGCUACUAAGCUGACUGUGGGUUAAGGGAGAGAUUGACGUGUGAAUCUAUAUAGCUUGAUGAUUUGUGUUGAUCUCACAGUACUGUGUGCACUGGAUGCUUGGACAUGGAGUUCUGCCUGUGGGAUGCCAUGGGUAUAUAUAGCACAUCAUCUGGCCGGCCGGGGUGGGGAUGAUGAGCACCGCAAAGCUCAAGUGUACGUCCUAGAAGUUUCAGCAUCACACUAGAAAGCAGGUACUAUUCCACUAAGCUAAGCGAAGUAACGGGCAUCAGGAAAUAAAGGAAUUUCAUUAGUGGGUGUGUACAUGUGUACAAAAGGCUGCAUGUGCCAAAAGCAAAAGUAACCAAAGAUGAUGGGCCGGGGCCGGUAUGCAUGCAUGCAUGCAAAAGUAGCUCGACCGAGAGAGCUAGUAAAAGUUGAUUGAUCGAUGCCGUGGGUGUGUCUGGACGUGUUGUGAUGUUACGGCCGGCCGGUCCGCCCAGUAUAUGAUCCCAAUCACCAAUUAUGGGGUUGAUGUGAUUAACUAAUAAGGCAGGCAGCCGCCCGGCCGGCUCAUCGUGCGCAACGGUUAUCAAAAAUGUUUUUGGCAAGCCUUGGGUAACUCUUUCCGUUCAAAGAAAAAGGCUUGCUUUCUUUUAUAUUCCAUCCGUCCAACAAAGAUGUCUCUAAAUUUGAAUGCAUCUAUACACUAAAUCAUGUCUACAUACAUCUAAAUUUUGACAAACUUGAGAUAUUUUUUGUUAAACCGAAGGAGUACUAGUUUUUUCUUGUUUGUGUAAGCAAUUUCAUGGUGAGGUGUACAUGCAUAUGUGUACUACUACGCAAAGCUGUCUGGGGCUUUUCUGUAGUGCGCUCAUUGUGAGCAUGCUCAAGUUGUAGGCUCGCAGCUUAGCUAAACUAGUUUACCAUAUGAACCCAGCAUGCAUUAUUCAUUGCUUUCGGGCGCUAGCUAGCUAAUUGACAAGAUGCAGUCGCAUUACGACCGUAAGAUCCAAAAUGUGUGGUGUACGUGCAUGCGUGCCAUGCCCCACUGAACAUCGAUCCAUCGCGGGAGCAGUAGUUGCUUCGGGAACGGCAAGUGCCCACGAGCCUUUUUCUGAACAAACACAAGUAGUCCAGCUUCUGUAACGUGGGUCUUUGCUAGUCGGCGCUGAUGAGUGAUCGAUGCUGCCUGUGGGAAUCCUUCGCCGCUAAGGUUCCUAGUUUUCCAUGGUCCGAAAAGCAGAGUCUCUCCGAGCUGUCGAUCGAAUCGAAUCGGCCGCCCGCGUGCGGACCACCGCGCUAGCUAGCAAAGAGCGUCAAUCCGCUUGGCGUUUUCCACUCGAUCGAUCUACUGCAAGUGGCAGGGAUCUAUGAGCACGAACAGUCUGAGCAGCAACAGAUGAUUUAAAAUACACUGACUAGGCGGCACACUGGAAAUACCUACGGUUUUUGCCAUAUCUAGGUUGACUAGGGACGAGUAGAUUCCUCUGGAUAUGGUUUAUGUUUUCAGAUUAGAGCGAUGGAAAAAAAGAGUGAAACCGUGUUCAGAUAUUAAUCUGCUGGUUUUGCUUAAAAAUCGAGCGGCUGAUAUAUUGUCACACCCAAAAAUGGUGGCGGAGGUUAAGAUCAGGGUUUAUGAUGGGCUACUAUUGUUACUCAAAAGUACCUUCUGCAUAACUCUAUUGCUUCCAUGACUGUGAAAGCUGUAAUUGUCCGACUCCGCUUGCUGGAAAGAUCUGAUGAAAGUCAUGUAUAUCUUAAUGGCAGAUCCUUUUGUGAUUCAAUCUGGAGAAACCGUAAGAUUCUGAGAAGAUUCAUGGUAUGAGGAUAAUUGUUUGUAUUCUGUUCCGUUCAAAAAGAAAAUUCAUGUUAUGUUUACCCUCAGCUUUACUUGUUCUGUGAGAAUCACGAUGUCUUUGUGGCUUAUGUGAAAAAUCAUUUUGACCAAAUUGUCUUCUCUAGAUGGUUGCAAGGAACCGGGGGGAAGAGUGGGAGGGAUUGAGAUCGAUGUAUUAUGAUGAAAUCCAAUUGUCUGAAUCCCCUGAUGUACCUGUGUGGAAGUGGGAAUCAAAGAAAAUCUUCCGUGCCAGAUCCUUAAUUAUUAAGCAUCCUUGUUCUCCUAUUAGUGGUGCAGACUAUACUUGCAUUUGCAAAUCUAAGCUACCUCUCAAGAUUAGAAUUUUCCUGUGGCAAUUGUUUCUGAAUGCUGUUCAGACCAAAAAAAAAAGUGAUCCAGCGGUGUUGGCCGGGCAGUCCUAAAUGUUAUUUCUACCAUGAUGAGACUCUUCAAUAUUUAUUCUUUGAUUGUACCGUAGCCAAGGUGGUUUACGGUUGUGUGGGAUUUUUUCUAUGUACUGAUUUGAUACAUAGGUCUCUUUGGCAAUAUUUUGUGUGGGUGGGUAAGAUUUUGCCAAAUGAUCGGAAUAUGUUUGUGUGAGUCUCGGUGAUGUUUGCUAGGCCAUUUGGACAACGAAUAAUGCAGUUUGCUUUGAGAAGAAAAUAAUCGACUCUUGUUGUGUUCUCUUUUUGGGUAUUGGGCAGGUCUGCGGAAGCGAUGAAGGAUGAGGCCACUAGGGUCAUGCAAUAUAUCCACGGUGAAUCUGCUCCAAAGAGCUCGAAAAUCUCGCCCACGUGGGGCGGCUGAUCAUGCACUACACAUGAUAUAGAGUCGUCGCCUUAUAUCCUGAUGAACUUUAGCCUAGUUUGAUCUGUAAUCGCCUGGUAUUGGCCGGAAAUAUUUAUCUUCUUGUCUUUCUGAGAACUCUUUUAGGAUAGUUUGCUGUGGUUUUUGUCCGAUAGUAGAUGGACCGAGAUGGCUCAAUUACAAUGAGUUUUCUUCUAGCUUUUGAUUCGAUUCUGCUAUUCCUCAUCCACUAUUUCUCCUUUUCGAUAAAGGGAGCUUUUAUUGAAAUAUUUGUCCUUCUGAUGUAAGACAUACUAUAUUGUAUUUCUGUUAUGUUUGAAUGGAAUGGAAUUGAUUUUUAAUAUAUAAUGUUCCAUAGUACGUAUUCUGAAGGAGUGUUGGAUCGUGAUGUUCUGAAAUUUGAAAGAAUGGCACGCAAGAUUGGUUAAGUGCGAAAUUGUCCAGUGCAUUUUUUUUCCAGAACACAAAGUAUUCUUUAUCGGAUCAUACAUGCCAACCUUUUAUCUCUAACGUGUGGUAAUUAUCACAAGAGUGUAGCUAUGUUAACUUGAUGUUUUUCUCCAAUCUUUAGGUCAUGGAUUCUCCUGAAUAUUUGUCUGUCAGAUCUCACUUUGGAGGUCAGUUUGUGAAUAAUGGGAGAGAGAUGCAUUAUGUAGGAGAGAAAUUUGGCAUGUCUAGGAGUAAGAAGCUUCAAAGCCGCAACUAGAUGGUUUUCGGUCCGGUUUUCCUUAUGAACGGGACCAUUUCUCUUCUUCUUAAUGAAAUGCAGGAAUCCCUGUCGCAACUAGGAGGAGGAGAAUAGGAAACAGUUGACACAUAUCUGAUGGAAAGUCGCGUACCAGUCUAGCAUGUUGGUUCUUUUUUCUACAAAUCGGUGAGUUGACAAAAUGUCCAUGCAAUUGAUUGUCAAGUCAGUUUUGGUUAUCAGGAGAGACAACCUCAAAACAGCCUCCAACUUAGCUUAAAUUGGAUAUGAGGGUAAUUUGUUUGGCUUUAAAGAGCUUACUUCUUGUUUGGCACAUGUGGAUUUUAUGGGAUUUUUAGGAAAUUUUGAGAAUUAUAGUUCAUUUUCUAAUGAGAAUCUCUAGAAUUCCUAAACAUCCACCGGUAGCAAAUUGCCAAACAAGCCCUUGGUGAGUGAAAUACCCGGUUUGGUCAGGAGUUGAUUAAAAUAAAAGUAGCAGGUUUACAAUUAUUUGGAUUAAUUUAACCCUAUAGAUAAACAACGAUACCUCCUUAAUUAGGAUCGAGCAUGCCUGAGUUCCAUAUGAAAAAUUGCAUUGUGGGUCCCCUGCCAUGACCUCAAUUCCAUCGGCCCGACGUACUGCCCUGAGGUGAAGUCAUGGGCAUGCAUGUGGGUCCAUAGAUUGAGGGCCCACGUGCCGGUGACCCCACCUCAGGGGCAGUUCGUGAGAGAAUCCCUACCGCAUUAAGCUAACCUGACGCUGCUUGAGAUUUUCCGCAUUUUAAAGGACGGUCAAUUCCGUCAUUCGAUUAAAAGAGAGAAACUGUACAAAGGGGGAUCAAAAAUGAUCUCCGAAAUAGAAAAGGAGGGGGGGGGGGCAAAAAUAUCGAAAAAGCCAGAGGGAAGGCCUAGCCUCCCGGAUCGUCAUUACAUGCCCGGAUCUUAUUCUGGUAUUCUUCCCAAAUCAAAUGGGCCACCUGAAGGGCGUUCAUCGCCGACCCUCUGAAGAUCCUUCUGUUGCGCUCCUUCCAUAAGCACCACCAUAUGUAGAUGAGGCGUCCUCCGAGCUUCCUCUGAGCCUUCUUAGGAAGACCCGAAGAGAGCCCAUCCCAGAGCUCAUUGAUGGAGCUAGGGGUGGCCAGGAUGGGGGGGUGAUCCGGACACCAUCUCUAAAUGUGGCCCCAUACCUCCCUAGAAAAGGAGCAGUCGCGGCAUAGGUGUGAGAUCGUCUCCGGUUGGGUUCUACAGAGUUGACAAAUCGGAUUGUGCGUCCAUUGUCGAAUCGCCAUAUUGUCCGCGGUGAGGAUUUUCCCAUGCAAAGCCGUCUAGGCGAAGAAUUUGCACUUUGUGAGCACGCCAAACCUUUCUGGAGGAGAAGGCGGGGAAGGAGCCGAAGAAUUGAGCCUUGUAGGAGGAAGCCGCCGAGUAAUAACCGGACGUUGUCCAUCUCCAAAAGAUGGAGAUUUUCCGCAUGCCUCUCCUUCCUUCCGGCUUAUAUCCUCCAGCUCCUCGCUACAUGGUUCGGCGACGCCCCUCCUCUCCAUCGCUGCAGUUAGAUCCGGCCACCAAAAGAAAAUCUUGUUGUCUCAGAGCAAGAUCUUGUCGCCUUGGCUAUUCUCCAUUGCACUGGCCAGCAGCAAGUGUCGCCGCUGCCGGUCAUCACCCCAAGUCCUCUCCACCGCCGGUCACCAUCUUUGCAAGCCGCCACCCUGAGUCCUCUCCAUUGCAAGGUCCUGUGGCCCGGAGUCCUCUCAUUUUUCAUAAGAGGUACUACAUCCGUUCCAUAAUUCUUGUCGAAAUAUUACAUGUAUCUCGACGCUUUUUAGGAAUAAGUACAUCCAUUUUUGGGCAAAUUUGAGACAAGAAUUAUGAAACGGAGGGAGUAGUUUAUUGUUGGGUUUUUUACUUAUGUGCCCUCGGUUCCUUAGUUCUACUCAGUUUUGCCCAGGCCUUAGAACACUGCUCGCUUCUACCCUCCUCCUUUGCGCAAAUGCUCGCUUUUACCAUCACGGAGCACCUCCUCACAGUCAACUCGGUCACGCCGUUAGCUGCUGACGGGUGGGACCGGGUAUAAGCCUGAUGGCUGGGACCAAUGCGCGCUGCUGACUGUGCGCCGGGCUGGGCUUUGGCAAGCUUGACUCUGGCCACCGCGACGACGGCCGCUGCGGCGUGGGGAUCGGUGCGAGCACGAGGACAAGGACCGGGAUGGGGACAUGGACGCAAGGAUACGCCGCUAGGAUGUUCUCGGUCGACACGACGGACGCUAGGAUGCGCCGCUGUCGCGCGCUCACGCCACGGACACAUCACAACACAGCCAUCGAAGAAAGAACCUAGUUCAUAUAUUCCAACAAGGACUUACAUUAACGACAUUAAUUUUGAAAAAAAAAAUGCUGAUCGAUCGUUCAUUCCUCGGCUUCGUCUUCAGAUUCCUCCACAGGCGGCGCAGGCCCCUCGACAGCCACCACAGGCGCCUCCGCCUCCUCCAUGUACGGGAGGCCGUGCAUCUCGCUGGCAUGGGGGAACGUGGUCGUAGUGUUGGUGUACACGUUGUACAGCGUGAAUGCGAUGAACUCGCAUCCACACCAGUACACGCGGCCAAGGAGGUAAUCAGCGUCAUGGCUGUUGGUGAGGUGCACCAAGAGGGCGGUUUUGACGCCGUGCUCGCGGAGCCUCUCCAGGAGGUACAUUGGAGGGCCACCGGCCUCCAGGUGUCUGAAGCCGGUGUUGUGGAAGUUCCUGGCCAGCGCCAUCGAGCUCCGGCUGCGCGACAUUGCCCACACCUAGAGCGUCCGCUCCACACGCACGCCAGGUGGGAACAACGCCUCAUCAGUGAGGGGUGGCGGGUUGAAGGUGAGGCCUGCGAACGCCAUUGCUUGUCGUCGGUGGGGGCGUUGGGCGGCGGGUUGAAGAAGCGGAGUGGAGAGCUGUGUAGAAGGAGAAGAAUGAGAGCUGUGUAGAAGAAGCAGAGCCAUGGCGCCGGCUUAAAUAGCGAUGGUGACAGGGGAAGGGGAGAGGUUUUCCGGCGAUCGGUGGGCUUUGAAUGCGGUCGCCGGCGCAGUUUGAAAUGCAUGGGAAACUGGCGUACGUGGGAAGUUGAAGGGAACUGGCGUCAAUAGCAGGCGUGCGCGGCGGCGCGGCCCAGUGAGAGUGAUCCCAGCUCGUUUCCCACUCACUCUCAAUAACUAUGAGAUUGUCUCGUCGGUUUCAUCUCCCCACUACUCUCUCGGUCCCGUCGGCUUUCUCUCCCCAUUACUACUUAUGUGCGUGCCUAGUAAACCGAUUCUCUCGUCUCCUCUGAUCUCAUCUACAUUCUUCCUCUCGCUCUCUCUCGAGCUCUACCGCUUCUCUCCACCAUGGCCAAGGACAAGGAGCUAGUAGACGGUACCGAGAGCUCGGGCGGCGGCGGCCAUGGGUGUGAGCUGGUCACCACUCCGCUGUCUGCCACCCGCCUACAUGCGCCGGCGGCAUAGUCCCAUGCAUUGAGCAUGGACGCCGCCGCUCGUUACAGCCGCUCGUCGCCGCCAAAGCGUGCUCGCAUCGAUGUGGACGUCCCGUGCUCGUCCUGCGGCUGACUCCCCCUCAACGACGACGACGACGACGACGAUGACAAGGACAAGGAGGAGGCCGAGUGCGAGAUCAAUCGGCGCCACGCCGAGCUCCUGCACACGUACCAGCAACGUGUGCGGGAAGCUGGCCGGUGGCACAUGGCUGCCACGAAGGUGGCUUCCGUGGCGGAAGAUUUCGCCAAUGAGUGCGGCCGGGAGGCGGCGGAGGCGAGGGAGCGGUACGAGUUUGAGCUCGUGACGCUAAACUCGGAGAGGAGCAACCUUCUCGAGGAGCGGGGAGGAAGAACGUUCGGGAAAUCCGGGCGGAGCGUGACACCAUCUUCGGCCUCAACAACGGCGACGGCGACGACGCUGCAUAGUGUUAUCCGUUAUUUAUCUCUAGCUGCAUAUGUAUAUGUUGCUACGUAUCUCUAUUUUUAUUCCUAUUUUAUAAUCGAUCUUGCGCAGCCAUCGAUCUCUCUAUAUAUAUGGAAUGUUAUCCAUUUUUCUCUUAUAUGUAUGGGUAUGGUAAUAGUAUAAGGUUGUAGUAUUUAGAAUGAAACAACGUUGGUAAAGUAAGGCCGGUCACAAAUUGAUUUUGGUCUGAAUUUUUUUUUUCAAUUGGCAGAAUAGGCAAAAACAGUAGUUUAGGUGCAAAAAGAAUUCAAAUGCGUUUGGACCCGGUGCAUUCCAAGUUUUUUGGUAUGCCAUGGCAAAAUCAUGACUUUGUUAUAUUGGUUCCACAUCGAUUUGUGCGAAAUUUCAUUGAAUUCUGAAUUAUGAGCCGAAAAGGCUGGAAAUUCAAAGAAUACACGAAAUAUCGUUCCUGAAGUCCAGAAAAUCUGAAACUUGUACAGAACAUCAAGGAUGAACACUAAACGCUUUGAAAAUCUUCUUGGAAAAAAAUUGUGAAUCUAAGUGCUGAUUGAGGUAACAGUUCCCCAGAUUUGUUUGAAUUUGAAAUUCAAAAAAUAGGUAAACAAUUCAGAUUUGAACAAGCUUUGAUAUAAUGACAAUUAAUAAGCAUAUGUGACUAGUGUGCAAAGUUUGAGUUCACUUGGAGAAAGUUUUGUGAUUCAAUUCCAAAAUUUACAUCAAACUUCCAACAUCUCCUUUAGAGAUUCUAAAACAUCCCAGAGAGAUGUGCUACUUUGAACAUCAUGCAUGUGAUCACAAAUUGAUUUUGGUCUGAAUUUUUUGGAUGACAGGUAUUGACAAAUAAAGAGCCGAUGCAAGUUUUCAGAUUUCUCCGGAUAAAAUUUCCUAUUAUUAUAUAUUUUUUCCAAUUGGCAGAAUAGGCAAAAACAGUAGUUUAGGUGCAAAAAGGAUUCAAAUGCGUUUGGACCUAGUGCAUUCGAAGUUUUUUGGAAUGCCAUGGCACAACCAUGACUUUGUUAUAUUGGUUCCACAUCGAUUUGUGCGAAGUUUCAUUGAAUUUUGAAUUAUGAGCCAAAAAGGCUGGAAAUUCAAAGAAUGCACGAAAUAUCGUUCCUGAACUCCAGAAAAUCUGAAAUUUGGAGAGAACAUCAAGGAUGAACACUAAACGCUUUGAAAAUCUUCUGGGAUGAAACUUGUGAAUCUAAGCGGUGACUGAGGUAACAGUUCCCCUAGAUUUGUUUUAAUCUGAAAUUCAAAAAAUAGGUAAACAAUUCAGAUUUGAACAAGAUUUGAGAUAAUGACAUUAAUAGGCAUAUGUGACUACUGUGCAAAGUUUGAGUUCAUUUGGAGAAAAUUUUGUGAUUCAAUUCCAAAAUUUACAUUAAAUUGGCCAACUAGUGGGUCUGGUCAACAAAAGUCAACUUUCUCAAAACAAUUUGAAAUUUCGUCAUCUUGCAUAAUUUUCCAUUCGGAUUGCAUCUGUGCUAUCAAAGAUCAAUUUUGAGGAAGUUCAAUUUCCAAGCUUCCUACAAAUUGUCCAUUCCAGUGGGCUCAAAGGGCAAAAAGUGGCUCUUUCUUCCCCCCGGUGAACAAAAGCUGCUCAUAUUCAUGGCCGCUCUUGCCAUCCAUCGCGACACCGUCGCUUCUCAACUUGGCGCUAAACCUUGCCGCCACGACCUCGUAGACAUGCUGAAGCUGUAUCCGCAAGCCGCGCAUCCUCUCGUGCUCUAUUCUGGCCGGAACGCGAACGGUGUUCGUGCCGUCCAGAUCACGCUCGCGUGCCGCUGCUUUGCGCCGUCAUGGCCAGCGUCCUCCACGAGCCUCGCCACCUUGCCCAAGAGACCCGCAUCGGUUCGAGAAUCCUUUCUGCAGAAGUAAUCGACCCGAGGUGCCUCCAAUCGCUGCGUCACCAUCUUCUUCCUCAGCUCUUACUGGUUGCUGCCGCUGAGCAGAUCUCCUUCUCCGGCGACCUCCGGACUCGACCGCCGCCUCCCUCAGCUCCACCUGAUCACUCUGAACCUUCCGGUGAUUCUCAUUGAGCCUCACGUGGUCCGAGUCAUCCCCGCGUCGCUGCUCCUCUCUGCCUGCCACCCGCCGGCGUCGAGGUUCUCGCGCAGUGCUCCUCCACCCCUUCCAAUGCCUCCGUCAAAUUUGUGAUGACCUACUCAUUCUUUUGCCCCUCUUUCCUGCCUCUCCCGUGUUCUGUAUCGCCCCUCCUCCUAGCGGAGCCCUCCGCCAUCGCAAACCGCACGGCCUUGCGACCAACAAGAUUUCAGCAAUGAGAAGCUCCAGCGCCACCUCAGGGUGAAGCGGCCUUGCGCCUACUAGACACCCCACCCCCUGUCUGGCCCGUGUCGCGCAGGGGAACAACUCCGGCGACGGCAAAGCGUCGGCGAGGCAGUGGCCAGAAGCCGCCUGAUUUUUCCUUCCGACGGUGGACCCACAUGCAAAUUAAUCAUUUCUUUUACAUUCAAAGGGAUCAUUUUCCUGUUGCUUCAACCCCACAUGUCAGUAGCUAGAUUGGCCCCACUCGGCAGGAUUUAACUUGGCCUCACCCGUCAGGAGGUAACGGUCAAAGGACUUGAACGUUAACAAGUCCGCCGUGAGAACAUUUGCGAGCAUUUGCCAAAGAACGAAGUGUAUAAGCGAUCAACGUUUUAAACAUCAAGCAAAACUGAGUACAAACGGAAAUAGAAAACCUUUAUUGUUUGAUAGGCAGACGGCUGAAUUUUGAUCGGACAGCUGUGUGUACGCCGACCGGUGUCCAAUAGACCCAUUGCUGUUGCCAUAUUGCGUUCGAGUCCGAUCCUGUCGCAAACCCGACCCGAUCUGUCCAGUAGUGCCCGACCGACCGCUGCUCCUCCUCUUCGGCCGGCCGGCGGGGAGUUCGAUCCCGCCUGCGCUGACCUGCGGCCCGCUCCCCAUCUGCCUGUCCUUGGCCCAGCAUGUACCAGUGGCGCAAGUUCGAGUUCUUCGAGGAGAAGGCAGCCAGCCGCGGCGGGGGAGGCGGUGCCCCGGCCGUGCCGGCCGAGAUCGCGGGCCGCGUCACCUGCUGCUCGGGCGGCCGCGGCCGCGUCGCCGUUGGCUGCGAUGACGGAACCGUGGGGCUCCUCGACCGCGGGUUCCGCCUCUCCUACGGGUUCCAGGCCUACGCCUCCUCCGUCCUCUUCCUCCAGCAGCUCAAGGUACACCCGAAAACGCAUCUGCCGCUGGGGAAUUCGUUGAUAGAUUUGUAACUUGGUGUUGCCUAAAACUUGAUCUGUCUAGCCAGGGACAAAGUAAACAAUCACAUGCUUGUUCUUAGUUGAAAUGAACUGCUAAUUAUGGUCUAGUGGACAGAUAGUUCAUCCAUCCCCGAUGUGAUGGUCCUCGCGCAGCUCUGAACAAUGCGAGAAACUUGGCAGUAAACUUGCUCCAAAGUUCUUUUAUUGAUUUCGUCAAGGUUUCAGAGUUCAGAACAUAUCUUCUUUUUUCAUUGGAAAAAAUGAAGUUCAAUUCAAUUGGGUUGCCAAUAGCUGAUAUAAUUGAUUAAUUGAAAAUUGGCUGCCUCCUUAUUGACAAAAUGGUGCUUGCUUGUCACUAAUUUCUUCCCUGUACUACCUCAAACCUCAAUAUAUCUUACUGUUCCUACUGCAUUUUCUCUAUUUUUCUUACUCUUCUAUUUUUUUUAUCAUGAUAAUAGCAGCUGAAAGUGGUAUUUACACCUUACUGCCUUUGUAUGAUCAGCAAAGAAAUGUUCUUGUCACGGUUGGAGAUGAUGAUCAAGCAUCUUCGCAGUCAUCGGCAAUCUGUCUAAAGGUUUUCGAUCUUGAUAAAGUACAAGAAGAGGGUUCAAGUACAACAACUCCUUUCUGUGUUCAAAUUUUGCGUAUCUUCACGAAUCAGUUUCCUCAGGCAAAGGUAAAAUUUUCCUGUCACCCCCCUUGCAGGUUACAUUAUAUGUUCUCCUGCUAAGAAAACUUCAACAUAUGGUGCAUACUAUAACAUCCUAUUCUACUUGGCAUAUUUAUUCAUUUUUGCAGAUUACAUCAUUUUUGGUUCUGGAAGAAGCCCCUCCCAUUCUGUUGAUUGCCAUCGGAUUGGAUAAUGGUUCCAUUUAUUGCAUCAAAGGUGACAUUGCACGUGAGCGUAUCACACGCUUCACGUUGCAAGUAGAGGCGGUUUCAGAUGGCUCAAGUUCACCUAUUACUGGUCUUGGUUUCCGAGUUGAGGGGCCAGCACAUCAGCUCUUUGCCAUAACUCCUAGUUCCAUAACCUUGUUCGGCUUGCAUUAUCAACCACCGAGGAGGCAAACACUUGAUCAGAUUGGUUGUGAGACCAAUGCUGUUGCAAUGAGUGACCGCAUGGUUAGUAUGUCAUCUUUUGUGUUUGUGCACAUUCAUCUAUUAUGUGUGCUUCAGGACCUAUUUGGUAGUUGUCCCGACUUAGUAGUUUGCCACUAGACAGCAGCAUACCAGAAAUAACAUGGGAAGUUUGGUUAGUCCAACAUCAGUCUUAAUUUUCUGCAAAAAAGUUUUUACAGUUGUACAAACUGUAUUAUUUUUAUUUGCCCUAAAUAGUGUGACCUACCCUCAUUCUCUGUGGGUUAUGGCUGUGGCGAGACACCUUCGUGAGGUAAUACAUGGGAAUCAAAGAAAUCAGCCCUCUUGAUACAGUAUGGUUGUUCUGCAGAGCUGCUAGUCUGCUACUAUACAAACUCUAUCAGAUCUACACCCUGAUAACUGAAGCUAACCAAGUGCACAGAAAGAAGGUGUUCUACAAAAUUUAGGAACAUUUAGCUAGUCUUUUUAACUGGCAGCCAGUCAGACAAUUUAUUACAUUUGCAGGUGUUUUUAUUGUACAUUUACUGUUAGGAUUUAUCUUGCUUGAAAGAAAAACUUAUUUGUGUUCAUUUCAAUCUCAGGAUCUGAUUGUUGGUAGACCCGAAGCUGUGUAUUUUUAUGAAGUUGAUGGUAGAGGUCCUUGUUGGGCUUUUGACGGUGAGAAGAAAUUUGUAGGUUGGUUUCGGGGCUAUUUACUUUGUAUUAUCGAAGAUCAAAGAAGCCGGAAGAAUACUCUUAAUGUUUAUGAUCUUAAGAAUCGGCUAAUUGCUCAUAGCAUGCCUGUUGGGGAUGUUUCACAUUUGGUCACUGAGUGGGGCUAUAUUAUUCUCAUAAUGAGUGAUAAAAGGAUACUUUGCAUUGGAGAGAAAGACAUGGAAAGUAAGCUGGAUAUGUUAUUCAAGAAAAAUCUUUAUACAGUUGCAAUCAAUCUUGUACAAAGUCAGCAAGCUGAUCCUGCUUCAACUGCUGAGGUUCUACGGAAGUAUGGUGACCAUCUGUAUGGCAAACAAGAAUAUGAUGAGGCCAUGUCUCAAUAUAUCCACACCAUUGGUCACCUUGAACCGUCGUUUGUUAUACAGAAGUUCCUUGAUGCAAAGCGCAUCUACAACCUGACAAAUUAUCUAGAGAAGUUACAUGAUAGAGGAUUAGCGUCGAAAGACCACACCACCCUUUUGUUGAAUUGCUAUACCAAAUUGAAAGAUGUCGAGAAGCUGAACCAUUUCAUCAAAGAUGAAGAUGGGGUAGGUGAAAUCAAGUUUGAUGUGGAAACUGCCAUAAGAGUAUGUCGCGCAGCUGGAUAUCAUGAACAUGCUAUGUUUGUGGCCAGAAAGGCUGGGAGGCAUGAGUUGUAUUUGAAGAUUUUACUUGAGGAUCUUGCUAGAUAUGAUGAGGCGCUGCAGUAUAUAUCUGGCCUUGAGGCAAAUCAAGCAGGUCUUACUGUAAAAGAAUAUGGAAAAAUUCUUGUGGAUCAUAGACCUUCUGAAACAGUUGAAAUACUGUUGAGGCUUUGUACUGAUGGUGGAGAUCCUACUACCAGGAGAGGUUCAAAUAGCAUGCGCUUGCUUAUGAUACCUUCGCCAAUGGACUUCGUAAACAUUUUUGUGCACAGCCCACAGUAUCUCAUGGAAUUUCUAGAAAACUAUAUCAAAGCAGUCAAGGAUUCACCUGCUCAAAUGGAAAUUCAUAACACCCUUCUGGAGCUCUAUAUAUCAAAAGAUUUAAGCUUCCCAUCUAUCUCACAAGAAAAUGGCUUUGAGGAUACUAUUAAAGAAAGAAAAGGGAAAGAAGUUGCAAAUGGCUAUAGAUCAGGCACAACGGAGAAGGGGAACCUUGGAAACGCAGGUACUAAAAUGGCAAAGGAUAUUGCUGAUAGGCAAAGGAAAGGGCUUGCAUUACUCAAGUCUGCCUGGACAUCUGAGAUGGAGGAUGCUUUGUAUUCUGUUGAUCUUGCUCUUAUUAUUUGUAAUGCAAAUGCAUUCAAAGAUGGAUUGUUGUUUCUGUACGAGAAGCUAAAACUCUACAAAGAAGUUAUCAGUUGCUACAAGCAAGCUCAUGAUCAUGAAGGUUUAAUUGCAUGCUGUAAGAAGCUCGGUGACUCAUCUCAAGGAGGGGAUCCAUCUCUAUGGGGUGAUCUGUUGAAGCAUUUCGGGGAGCUCGGGGAAGAUUGCUCUAAGGAAGUUAAAGAGAUCUUGACCUACAUUGAGAAGGAGGAUGUUUUGCCUCCAAUUGUUGUGCUACAGACACUGUCAAAAAACCCAUGUUUGACGCUCUCAGUUGUCAAGGAUUACAUUGCUCGUAAACUUGAGCAAGAAUCAAAGCUCAUUGAAGAUGAUAGAAAAUCUAUUGACAAGUACCAGGUUAGUAAUUUUAUUGCAGUGUCUUCUGCAUCUUUUUCAUCUAUUGUUUUACUAAGUACCUUUUACAAUAUUGAGGCAAUUGAAUUAGUGUAGCUUGGUUUGAUGCAAAUAUAUGAAAGCAUCCUCUAGCUAUAUGGUGUUAUAUGUGAUGCAAGAUAGGUUCAAGUCUAGAUACUUUUGGAUAGUCGGUUGUUUGGCUGUUUGUUUAACAACUUUUUUGAAGCAGUGAAUCAGAUUAUAUCACUUGCCUACCUUAAGUCUUGUUUUUUUGUAGUAUUGUACUCUUUAUUAUUGAUAUACUGAAAUUUAUAGUUGGGCAUACCAUCGCAUGCAGCAGCUCUUGCCAGCUGCCUUCCAUUCAGUGAAGAUAUCUACAUAUAGAACUAAAAGGCAAAACCCACGAUUAAAUAGAAAUCAAGUUUCCUUUCCUAAUAGAAGUGUCCUACUUUACUGAUCUUCCAGAAUUGACAUGUGCAUACCAUGCUCCAUGUGAAUCAUUAAACCACUUUGAGACAUAAUAUUCUUUUCAUUCAAUACAAUUAUCAUGUGGAACACAUAAUUAGAGAGGUUAAUACUGGUAACUGUUUUUGUUUACUUUGGGAGUGUAAAUGUAAGGUUCUUUGCUUCUACGCUAGCAAUUAAAUGAUUAAAGUUGGCACCCGGCAGUUAUCGAAAGUUCUAUCUUUCAGACAUCAAACAUGUUUGACAGAAUCAUGCACUUUUGAUUAACUAAAUUUGAACAUAAUAAAACCGUGCAACUUUCUAACUCUUAUGUAAAGGGAAGGAUUGCUAUAAAAUAUUUCUCUGAGGUCGCAAGAUCAGAGACCCUAUAUUUGAAACUUUAGAUAGAGUUACUCUAACACUCUUCAGUGAUUCAAAUAAGAAACAUGAAACAUUUAGUGACACGUGAUUUUAUUUACACAGGAAGAGACAGAAUUGAUGAAAAGGGAGAUAGAAGACCUCAAGACAAACGCAAAGGUUUUUCAGCUAAGCAAGUGUACUGCGUGCACUUUCACCCUUGAUCUUCCUGCUGUCCAUUUCAUGUGCAUGCACUCAUUCCAUCUUCGCUGCCUCGGCGACAAUGAGAAAGAAUGCCCGGAAUGUGCAGCUGAAUAUAGAUCUGUUAUGGAGGCAAAGCAGAAGCUAGAACUAAAUUCGAGAGAUCAAAACCUCUUUUUCAGGGAGUUGAGGGGUUCAAAGGAUGGCUUUUCUGUGGUCGCGGACUAUUUUAGCAAGGGCGUGGUGAGCAAAACAACCAUUCCACCUGAAAAUGCCCCAUAGGGAAGAGUUACUAUCUACUGUUUUGCGUUGUACAGCAUAUAUGAUGUUCAUUUCUAUUUGAUUGUGCUUCGGUUCUGCAUAUGCGAGCUUCCGUCAAGUACUAAGUUGUCCUCUCUAGCCUUAUUUGAUCCAUGCUUGAAUUUUCUGUUGUACAAUGGCACUGUAAAUACUUGUUCUAGCCGCCCUUUUUUGCUGGCUGCUGGAAAGAGGUUUCUCGGAGUGUGCUGCUUCAAGCAUUCGAGUUUGAAUGGAUAUUUGACAUGUGAUUUCUGCUCAGACAUUUGCUGGGUGUUGGACAGCGAGUUUCUUAUAAAUGGCAAUUUUAUUUUUUUUGAAAAAAAAGAAAGAAAAGAAGACAUCAGUUCUGCUUCUAUUUGAUAGUACACCGUUUUUGUGAUGAUUUUUUUUAUGAGAUUGCAAUUUUUACGGUAGCUGUGUUUUUGCUGGGUGCUGGAAAGAGGUUGCCACGUGGUUCAUUUUUUUUGUUUUUGAUGUUUUGUAAAAUUAAAAUCACAGCUUUUCCAUCUCAUCUAUUUGUGUUUGUCUGGUAGUUCAUUCUUAUUUGAGUAAAACAAUCGUAGAAUUAUUGUAAGUACAAACUAUCUGUGGACUCUCAAUGUCAGUUAGAGUCGAUGGUUAACCAUGUGUUUUACCUUCAUUCGACUUUAUUGCCAUGUGAAUCUCACAGCAACGAAGUUCGUUUCUUCCAUGGUUCAUCUGAACUGAACCAACUGCAAGCUCCAACUGCUGCUGGCCCCAGAGAACAUGGAGAUGUUCCAUUGGAAUGCAUACAUUGAAUUUGAAGAACUAAAUGCUAUAGAACACGACCGUGAAGAAUGGCAGAGAUCUAGUGUCAUGUGUGUCGAUGUGCUAGUAGGUAGGGUGGACAAUUAUGUGCAUAUACAGAGGCAGUUAUCAGUGACCAGCCUCAACAUUUCAAGCAUUAUAGUACAGUUUGAUUAACAUGAAAGUAUCGUAUCGCCAAUUAACCAUGCACAUACGAGCACCGUACUUGUUUCCCUCAACCACAGUAAAGUGCUAUUCCUCUUUUCAUAUAUACUCCCUCCGUCCCAUAUCAAGUGACUUAACUUUGUCCAAUAUGAAUGUAUUUAUGUCUAAAAAACGUCUAAAUAAAUGUAAUAUAAAGUCACUUAUUAUGGAACGGAGGGAGUAUAAAAUGCCCUAACUUUGUCCUAAGUCAAACUUAUUAAAAUUUUGACAAAAUUAUAGAAAAAAUACAAAUAUUCAAAUAAGUGUAAUAUGAAGAAAAUACACCAUGAUAUAUUUAAUAAAACUAAUUUGAAGUUGCAAAUUGUUGAUAACUUUCUAUAAAUUGGGUCAAACAUUAAAAGGGGAUUUGACUUCGGACAAAGUUAGAACAUCUUAUAUUUAGGACCAAAGUGGAUGCAGUAGCAAAUAAAUCCAUUAUGAAUUGCAAAGGGUUGCCCGUUUUCAUGCUGCAAUUAAAUGUGUUUUUUCGUUGUUGUGUACGCUAUUCAUAAAUUUCCAUACAUUGUACUUUUAUGCCGCGUACCAUUUUUGAUCUUUUGUUGGGAUGAAUGGUCAUUUCUUGCAUACACAUAAUGUUUUCCUACAUAGACAUAGACAUGCCUAAAAUGAUUACCCAUUUGGCGCUCCCCCCGUUCCAAACCAAACAUCCCUGAACUGUAGCUCCACGUCCCGGGCCCUCGGGUUUGGAGCCUGAUGAGGAAAGAAACGGCCGCACGCACCUGCCGCCGGUAGUACGGGCUCAUGGCCUCGGAGCCCACCCACGAGCCAUCGCCUCACCUCACGCCGUAGCAGCAAUCAUAUGCGGCGCACCACGGCGACAGCUCACUCGCGCUUCCGCUCUGGCUCUUGCUCCCGGGCCUGGCUCUGGGUGUACAUCAUCAUCCAUCCUUGUCCCCUUUCCCCCACUCGUGUGUGUGACUGCUGCUGCUGCUCUGCUCAUCAUCACCAUCAUGGCCUGUGCAACCAGCUGAUCGACCGGCCUCAGCUCUCAAGCAGGACGCCUCUGGGUCAUAAUGGGCGGUACGUACACGCUCUUCCAUGUCGGUUCUCCGAUGGCUUCUCUUUCCCUCUUCUUUUUCCAGGCAAUCUUUGAGGUUUCAGGAGCAUCUCUUGCUUUUUUCACCUCUUCUUCUUGGAACUGUAUGUGUGCGUUCUUUGAUGUUCGAGAAAGCUAUUUUUCAGUUUGGCAUUUCCUUGAUCGUAUUUAUUUCGCCGGCCGCAGUCCCACCUGCUUUUCUUUUCUUAAAUCUCAUCUUCUCACUACUCUGUUCGAGUAUAGUACUAGUACGACUACAUUUUAGGAAUUGUAAUUCAGUUUGCGACCUGCAAAUCCUGAUAUAGUCUCUUCCCAUGUUUAAACUAAAGGCGAUGGUGAUGGUCACAUCCCCUUUCGCCAGUCUCCCUGCUUCUUAUUCCUUCCUCUAAAGCUGCAUCCAUCCAUCAGUUUCAUCUUUCUCUUUUGCGCUUUUGCUCUUUCUUCUUCUUCUUCCCCUUUGAUCGCCUUCGAUGCCACAGUCUUGACCACAUCAAUCACUGACCACAGUAGCGACAUUGGGGGCGGCACUGCUCUCUGUCUCUGCUCUUUUGCUUACUGGGAAGCAGAACAACUUGCAAGCUCCCAAUGCCGGGGCGCGACCUGGAGGAGUGCGCCUGCGAGACCGCGGUGAGACCGGCCAGGAUCCGCAAGCGGCGCGCGCUGUCGUCGUCCGGCGCGUCGGGCCCGGCCAGGAGGAGGCCCGCGGUGCUGCUGCUGCGGCGGCGGCAGAGGAGAGCCGGAGGAGCGGCCAUGUCGGAGUCGUCGUCCCAGAGCCGGCAUUGCCGCGGCCACGGCCACGCCCCCGAGGGGAUGUCCGCCAGGAGGCUCGUGGCCGCGUUCUGGCAGACGGACAAGGACAGGCUGUUCGGGGACGACGACGCGGUGAUUCGCCGGAGCGUGGUUCCUCGUAGCCACGCCUCCACGGAGGUGAGCAAGCGAUUCCUCAUCUCUUUGGUUUCGUGAUUCCUGGGACUGUUGUGGUUGGCAAGUAAAUCGAUCGAUCUGGCGAUUGUAGGUGUCCAAGAGCUCGAGGAGCAGGACUAGCAAGGUGUUGUUGGAGGCUGGUGGUGGGAAGAGAAGCUGGCACAACGACCCUGGCCAGUGGAUUUCGGCAGAUGCCAUGAGCAAGUGCAGCGCAAUGGAGGUAAGUAAAUCCACAAUUUGAUUGUUUCCAUGUUUACAUAUGUUUCCAUGUUUACAAAAUCUGUAGUUUUUAACUAAAAUGAUGAUAACAGGGGUGUCUGAACUCUGAAGCCUCAACAUACUCUGAGUAGCCGAGCGAGUGACAAGUUUAAUCAAACCCUAGCUAGUUGCUGGUAGAAGGAAUCUUUCACUUCAAAAAGGCGAAAUUUUUUGGUACCUGGUUUCAAACGUUGCACAUCUUUAAAUGCAAGUUGGUUCCCAGAAACACACAAAUAUUUGAGGAAUCAGACCACCUGCCAAAUGCUAGUAUAUGUCUAGAUGAGUAGUUUGUGCAUAGGUGCCGGCGUGCUGAGUUCUUAAGUUACAGAUGAUCUUAAACAAUACUUACUCCGUACCUAGUUAGCUGCAUUUAGAAGGAUUUCUAACUUCGAAAAGGCAUACACUUUUGAUGCCUCUCAAAUUAGUACACCUUUAAGUACGAGUCGGUUUUGUAAACUUGAAAGCAGAAGCAAAUGUGAGGCGCAUCUCUAAGGGAACAUUUUUCAUAUGCACAUGCGUCUUGUUCACUUAUGCUGUUGCAACAGGCUAUCAGCUAGGCCUGAUUGUUUAUUGUGCAGCUGAAAUAGCUCCGUAAUACUUUCCUUACGUCUAGGCUGUUAGGGAGGAUUUAGCUAUUGGGAAGUUGGUACCUUUUAGGUACGUAUGGGCAAACUGGAUGGUUGUCAGAUUUGUUGAAGCUAAUUUUCGGUUUAGAAAAACAGACAGCCUCAUCACAGCUCUUUGAUUAUGUUGCCUGCAUGUGCUGUCUCAGUUUUAGUAUCUAUUUUACUGAAAAGUGUAGUAAUUUAAUCAUUUUGUUCAUUUCAUAUGAGAAGCUUGUUUUCCUUUCGAGAAAUUAAGAAAUGACAAGAACUUGGAAGUUACCAAACAUGGACUUUCUAUUUCAGAUUGGCAGACGCUCUCCGGACGAUGUUUCAAGAUGUCCUGAGGAGAAAGCAAUGCACCUGAAGGAUCUGUACAACAGCUUGAUCGCAUCGAAAGAACUUGCCAAAGUGCUAUCACACAUCUGGGGAGAACUGAACCCAUCGACAGUCUCACUCAUUUCUGCCCUGCGUUCUGAACUUGAUCUCGCUCGCGCUCACGUCCGAAGGCUUAUCAAGGAACAUGAAUCAGAGCGUAUCGAAACCGAUGGCUUCAGGAAGCAACUCCUGGAGGAAAUGCAGUCUUGGAAGGCCAAACAAAAGGAGAAGGCUGCAGCUGCUCUGCAGUACACAGUUACCGAGUUGGACAGCGAGAAGAAGUCGAGGAAAAGGGCAGAGAAGGCUAACAAGAAGCUUGGCGUGGCAUUAGUCGACACGGAGUCGGCGCUAAGUGCCGCGACAGACGAGCUUGAAAGGGAAAGGAAGUGCAAAGCAAGAGUGGAGAAGAUGUGCAGCGAGCUCAUGAGAGGCAUCGCCGAGGACAGGGCCGCGCUGGAGGCAAUGAGGAGAGAAACCGAGCAGGCCCGCGAGGAGCUCGAGAGAGAGCGGGAGAUGCUUCAGCUGGCGGACGAGUGGCGCGAGCAAAGGGUCCAGAUGAAGCUGCUGGAAGCGCGCCUUCAGUUCGAGGAGAAAAACUCAGCCGUCAGUCAGCUGCACGACGAGCUCCAAGCGUAUCUGGACGCUAACAAGGACAAUGGAUCAAAAAUGGAUCGAAACCAUGCGUAUGAAAACGUUGGAGGUCCGGAAGAAUCAGAUGGUGCGAUUGCAGGCAACGGCAGCGACGAUUGCGAGUCGGAAGGGAGUGAUAUGCACUCGAUCGAGCUGAAGGUGGAUGGCAACAGCAAGUGCUGCACCUGGAGCUACGACACUCCUUCGUCAAGGGGCAAUCUCUCGUCGAUGCGUGGAGGGAUAAUAGUCCAGGAAAUGGAUGACGCACUGGAGGGAGACUGGGCCGAAGGAUGCAGCAACGGGAUGCUCAACUUUGAUCAUGACGAGGAGAGGUACCAAGCGAUUGAGGAUCUCAGGGAGCAGAUGUUAGCUGGGUCUGGGCUCAGCAUGUCACAAGGCAGAGAGAAUGCUGAAACAGACUACUGUAUCUUGUAACGGGAACUAAACUGGGAAAAUUAUAUGUAUAGUCAAGGUUCUUCUUUUGUUGACGAGUUUCCUUGUACAUGGAUGUUUUGAGAUCUUGAGAGUUAGGGUUACGGUGUAUUCGUGCUUCCAUGGUUUGGUAGUUUUUUUUUUCCAGAGAGUUAGAGUUUCUUUUUUUCGGAUUGCUUUUGAGGAAGCAAUACUACAACGCCUUAUCUAGUUUGAAAUUCUUGUGGGUAAAAGGUAAACAUGCAUGCGCAAUAAUUUAGCCACCAACCAAAGCAACUCUAUUACAAAUAUAAGUAACUUAACGUUACAAGAAAACAAAUUGCAGCAUGUUAAACCCUAUUUUCAUCGAAACACAAUGCCGUACCAGUGACCCAUGGGGUCCCACUGAUACGGGACGCGUGGGUCGUGAGUAACAAACCCCACCCCCCCGUGAGGUAGGCCUCCCGGGAAGCCCGCCUCAAGGAGACGGUCGUUGUUGAAGACAAAGCCAAGAACCGGAACAUGAGAAGCAAGCACCCGCUUUGGUGGGUACCCGGGAACUCUGGUCCCGGGAAGUGGAAAGAACGCUGUCCCGGCAACUGGCCGGGUGCGCUAGCCGGGAAGGGGCUCCCAGCAACCCGCGCUCGGGCAUGCAGGUGGGGCCCGCAGAACAGUGAAGACAGGACGAGACAGCGAACGCAGUGCAUUUAAUGCACCGACAGUAUUCACAUCUGCAAGUCAGCAAGGCUAGAACGUCUACUCCAUAAUCCAUUUUUAUCUACCGUGUACAGUAGCCUGGUCCAUGCGUGGAUCAACAGUAGUGUAAUUCCUGUGGCGAUGACACGCGUAUAGGAAACGUGUCGCGCUGCAUGCAUCGACACUUGUGGUAUCUCCUUGUCUAUAAAAAGAGGACCAAUGCCACCGGUCAAAGGGUUCCAGUUCGACCGCAGUUAGUAGUAGCAAGGAGCACUGCUCCUGUUCAAUCUCUUAGGAGAACAAGUAGCUCCCCGGGAACUCUCUGGGGCAAUCUGUACGAGCACACAUACAUUUUCGUGAAUACUACACAAAGCAGGACGUAGGGUGUUACACCUCCGGGUGGCCCGAACCUGAAAAACUCACACAUCGACACUUCGUGUCUUUCGUCACGUCGGCGAUCGCCGGAGCCAUCGCCUUGCCCUCCACCGAACCAAAAAAGGGGGUUGCUCAGCAUCCCCGGUGCCGGAGACCCGUGCUCCGACGCACAGUUUUAACACCGACCAAAGAACCUCUAAUACAAUUAUAAGCAACUUAACAUUACACAAAAACUAACUAUUUGUUUCAUAUAAAAACCUAUUUUCAUAGGACAACUUUUACCCAAUUGAAGCAAUUCUUGUACAAUUAUAAACCACUUACAAUUAAAACAAAAUAAACUAUUUUUUGUUUCACAUUGUUUUUGAAGAAACAAUAUGUCUUAACUACUUUGAAUUUCUUGAGGGCCAUAGGAAAACUUGUUUACCUUACUUCAGUAUUGUGACUGUUUUUUUAAUUCGGACCUGAUAGUUUAGUAGCCACAGAAACUAAGAUAUCUACGAUGGUUUUUGUGCAUCCCUAACACACGAAAUAAAAUAAUCCAUAAUCUGUUUUUGGGCCGGACCAUCUUCAAAAUAGUUUGGGCCAUACAAUUCACUAAGACAAAGGGAAAACAUAAAUGAACCUAGUAUCUCUAACCCUAAUAGCACAUACCCUUCUCAUAUUCCCCUUCCGCUCCCGAGCGGCUGGCGGCGCCCAUUUCCUAUGCGGACUAGCUCCCAAUUCUUCCGAUCUUCGUUAUCCCACCCAAAAUAGGUCCGCGUUGCUGCCCAUGUUGGAGACGUGUCGUGCUGCCCUUCAAACGACACAUCCCAAUUGGUAUCCCUCUCGUUAGAUCCAACCGUGCCACCAGAUGGCCGGGAGUGUAGAUCUGGAAUUUGAGUUUGAUAUGGAGGUGGAAUUAGGUAUGUUGGAACGCAAUUUUAAUAAAUCUAUCUUUUGUAUGAUUUACUUUUUCCCUGACGAUGCCCUGUUGGUCUCCCUCUACUCAGAUCCAAACCUUCGAUCGGAGAUGGGGCAUGCAGAUAUGGAACUAAAUCUCGCAUCGGUGCUAAAUGGGGUAUGUAUUAAUGUAACUACCAGUACUCUUUUGUGUGUGUUUUGGUUGCGGUUGCACGGGUUGAUGAUGACUAAUCUGAUUAUGCAGUAUUUUUAUUAUCAAUUGAAUUAGGAACUUGAAUUUGAAUGCAUGAAUUGCUGUGUUUUAAAGCUUUGUCAAAGUUGUCAUGCUUCUUUAGUUUCUUAUUUAGGAUUUUCUUUGUCCCGAAAAAUGUUUGAGCUAGGAAAAUUGCGUUAGUUAGGGAUGUUUCAUGGUCAUUAUGAGAAUAUUGUUGUAAGAAAUAAUGCUUAAGUUUGAAUUAUAUUAUAGCAGAUUUUUUUUCUUGUACAUGUUACUACCUCUGUCCGCGUUUAUCAGGCUUGUGUGUAUAUACAGAUUUUUUUUUUGAAAGGAAACUGUAGGAAGGCUCCGACAGUGAACACGUGUAUAUCUAGAAGAUCAAUUUGAUCAAUUCAGUAUGUAUUAUAUUGCCCAAAAAGUAUACAAUUAGAUUUGUGACCGAAAGAAUUUUUUAGUGAUAUACUUUAUGUCAUAUAACUUAUAUAUCACGAGUCAAAUUGGUGAUUUAGAAACACGUGCAGACCUUAUAAACCCGGACGGGCGUAGUAGAUAACACAAGAUCGCCAUGAUCCCAAAUGCUAGAAUGCUAGAGAAAAAAGAGUUGCUAAUUAGUUAUUGGAAAUCAUAACAAGUGAAGUGGCACAAAUAGAGAACCAAGCAUAACUUGGGUGGUUAGCCAACAAGGUAUGCUGGUAACCUACCGGAAUUUAAUCCUCGAAACUCGCAUUUUGGUGUCUCACCUUGUAAAACUUUAUCUAUAUACCGUUGUACCGCAAUCGUGCAGCUCUUACAGUUUAAUUUUUUUUUCUUGGCACAAAUAUCAUGUCACGAGGUCAAACAUUUCCUUUGCUAACUGUUGGCAUAUUUUUAGUAUACUAUCUCCAUCCACAAAUAAGUGUACGGUUAGCUUCAAAAUCUGUCCACAAAAGAGUGUACUUUUUUUUUUCAAAACACUUUAAAGUAAAAAAAUUGCUUCUAUUUCUCAUCACACAGAAAUCAAACCCAAUAAUAUUUCUCCAUGCACUUAGCUCAUUAGAGGCAAAUGAAUUAAAGAGGAAAGAGAUGGUGGUUGUGUAUUUAGUUUUUCUGUCCCAGCCUAGUGUGGGAACACUUCUGAUAAAAAUAAUCAGAAUGCCUAAUUAUUAAUUUUAGUUCCAUAUACUUAAUCUUGCUGCCGAAAGCCGCAUGAGAGUGACUAAUCUUGUGUAGGACUCACAAAAGAAAACAUACCAUUGUAUACCUUAAUUUUGUGCUGAUCACAUUUUCAGUUGUCUGAUCGUCGAUCUAGCUGAAUCAAAUAUCUGAUGUUGAUGCCAUUUUCACUAAUCAGUUUCGGAGAUGGAUUAAUUCCUAUUGCAAUACGAGUUGAAUACUCUGAGGUUGCAAUGAUCUAAUCUAAUCAAUAUAUGUGUGUGUGUUGUAGGAGGAUGUACAGGCAAGUGAAGACAAGCAGGAUCAUCAACACUUUCAAGAACACAGCCUGAUCCCACAGCCCCAGCCUCCGGUUGCCGCAGCAGCCACACUCCCAGACGACAUACUGUUCUCGGAAGUUUUGGUGCGCCUUCCUGUUAAAUCCCUCAUGCGCUUCAAAUGUGUCUGCCCCUCCUGGUGCGCUGCCAUCGCUGAUGCUGACUUCAUUCGCCGCCAUCUAGACCACUCCCGAGGGAUUAUGCCGUCCAUUCUCGUCACCCCGCGCGAAAGCUCUGGCGACGACGACGACGACGACGAGUUCUCUGAGGAUAUCUCCUUCCACCGUCUCCAGCUUGAACAGGCACUGGCUGGCACCAUCAUGGAGGAGUUGAUGCUGAAGAAAGUGUCGCCGGACCAAGAAGAUGGCAUCACAAACAAGAUCUUCCUUACACACUGCGACGGCUUGGUGGCCAUCACGACCACCACAAACCAGGUAUUUGUGUGCAACCCAGCCACACAGGAAUUUGUCGCGCUGCCGACUAGGACCCCGGACUUUGACUCUGACGAAUAUUCCAAUGAGCCUACCACGGCAGCGCUCGGCUUCGAUCCACACCGCAACCGGUACGUCGUUGCCAGGUACUUCUACAAGCCCACAUCGAGCAGUGAGGACAACAACAAUAUGGGGCACGAGGUCUUCUGGCUAGGGGGCGAUUCCACAUGGUCUUGGAAGCCCACUCAAGACCCACCGCUACCGAUCUAUCAAACUCGACCAGCCUUCAUGGGAGGGGCCUUCUACUGGAAAUCUGCCGACCAAUCGCUGCUGCGGUUUAGCCUUGGCGAUGAGGCAUUUGAGGUGAUCCCACCACCUCCAGGCGCCUCCUCCCACUACACUCUUGAAAGUCUGACGGAACUAGACGGCAACCUGUGCCACACCUACACCUCGUCUCAGACCAAAUUUGAGGUGUGGCAGCUGGCGGAUGACAGGUCAUCAUGGUCGAAGCGUUGCCAAGUCAUUAACUUUGACUUGUCUUUUGGCUCGGAAGCCUUCUUGCCUGUUUGGGCUGGCAGGGGUGGGAUGCUGUUGGCUGUCGACUACAACAAGCUAUACUGGUACUGCGACAAGAGUGGAUCUCUAAAGAAAGUGGUGGACAUGGAACAUGAGGUGGAUUUGGGGAGACGAGAGGACGGAUUUUACCGGCAGCAGAUCGUUCCUUACAUUGAGAGUCUGGUUUCCAUAAGAAAGUGAUUAGUGCUGAAUGGUCCAGUGCAAGGUGUCCUACCAACUUGGGAGUAUUGGUGCUUGUUUGUCAGAUAUGCUGUUCAGUUUCCAAACUCCUUCAGAUAUAAUUUCCUUUUUCUUUCUUGGGAAGGGAGUCUUAUUGAUUCCCAGAUACUAUAUUAAGCUAAUAAAGAACACAUGUGUGUGUUCAACAUAUAUACCCACCCUGCUUAUCAAACCAGGAGAAUUGUUACGAGUCUUAUUGAUUCCCAAAGACUAUAUUAAGCUAAUAAAGAACACAUGUGUGUGUGUUCAACAUACCUAGACCCUGCAUAUCAAACCAGGAGAGUUGUUACUCACUCGAGUACAUGAAUGUGAAAGAAACAAAAGGAUCCAUGGCGUCACAUCGAUGGAGCGGAAUAGGUGAACACCCCACUGGCACCCGCUCCACCUGCAAACACGCUGCCGACAAAACUUUCAAGUCCGGUUCGUAAAGCAUAGACCAAGUACAAAGCUAAUGUGUACGAGCUAACAUGCAUACAUAACCUGCACUCUCACUACUACAAAACAUGUUAUUACUUAUAAUGAUGACUUUUUCAUCAACGAUAGGUUAGAACUUAGAACACCCGUCAAUGAUGACUUAAUUUGCAUGUUAUUUAAACAGCACUUCAUUCAUUCAAUCAUUAUCUCAUAGCAUGACUACAGCCAGUCAUACAGUCACCAAUUCAGUGAGCGUGCAGCAAUGCACACAUGCAUAUUUACACUGCUACACAAAAAUUGACAUUUUUCAUCUCUGUUCAGAGACCAUAUGAAGGGAGAGCGAAACCCCAUUUGUCCAUUUAGGGCUAGUUCAUUUAUGCUCUUCCCGGUGGGGAUUGACAGGGAAUGGUGAAAUUGUAGUUCAAGUUCCUCCUAAUCCCUCUCAAUCCUGGAGGGAUUAUCACAAACGUACAGGCCAUUAGGGGGUGUUUGGACAAACGGGGAUGAGCAAAAUACCAAGUUUUCCAGUGAAAGCUCCUAUUUGUCCUCCCCAUUUGUCCAUUAUGAAUUUUUAUUCUAAUUUGCACCUAUGCACAUGAUUUGAACACCAUUGAUAAUUCAAAGGUAAAAAUUGGGGCACACAUAAUUGAAUACCAAUUAAAAUUAAAAUUAAAAUGCAAUAACAAUUCAUAUAUCUUGUUCUUUUAUGCACAACAAAUGAGCUGCUCGAUCUAGAUGAAUGUAGUCUAAUGUUAAACUCAGUUCAAUUAAAACUAUGGAUACAUCAGUGUCAUACCAACCAUGGUUGCUCUCAUCAGUACGUUCAUACGAAAAAAAGGAUCACAAUCAGAAGUUUUAAGCUGACUGUAUAGUGUAUUCCAUAAAGUAAAAGAUUGCAAUUUGUUUGAGACACUGAAUCAGUCUAAAGUCUAUACUAAUUCAUUCAGUUUAUACAUGUUUCCAUCUUGCAUAGAGAGGCAGCGCGCAGCUGGAUGCAGAACUGCAGAACAUGUGUAUGUGUACAAAUCGCUUGGAGAAAAUCAGCUUGGUAUACUUACUUGUUAAGCCAAUUUGAAAUGCCUCAACAGGGAAUUCUAGAAGUAGAGUUGUUUGACGUAUGGGGAGUGGAUUAUAUUGGGCCAUUACAAUCUUCAAAAGGUUAUAAACAUAUAUUGGUAGCAGUUGACUGUCUCGAAAUGGGUAGAGGCAAUCCCGACAGUUCAUGCAGACUCAAAAUCGGUAUGCAAAUUAUUCAGGACAGUCAUUUUCCCCAGGUUUGGAAUACCCAGAGUGAUAAUAAGUGAUGGAGGGACACACUUUACCAGCAGCCAGUUCCAAAAUUUGUUAAGCAAUUAUGGUGUGCACAAUCAUAGGGUGACCACACCUUAUCACCCCCAAGCUAAUGGCCAAGUAGAGCUUUCAAAUAGAGAAAUCAAGCAAAUACUUGAUAAAGUUCUUUCAAAAUCGAGGGCAUAUUGGUCAAUAAAGCUACCAGACACACUUUUGGCAUACAGGACUGCAUACAAAACGCCUCUUGGAAUGUCUCCAUUUCGACUUGUCUAUGGCAAAGCAUGCCAUCUACCAGUUGAGCUAGAGCACAUGGCUUACUGGGCUAUGUGUCAGUUGAAUUUGGAUAUGAGCUUGGUUGAAAGGAAACUACAAAUCUGUGAGCUUGAUGAAUUGAGAAAUGAUGCAUAUGAAAGCUCAAGAAUUUACAAGGAAAGAACAAAGAAGUGGCAUGAUAAGCACAUAUUGAGAAGGGAAUUCAGUCUAGGGGAAACAGUGUGCUCUAUGAUUCAAGAUUCCAUCUCUUCCUUGGGAAAUUCAAAUCGAGAUGGCACGGACCUUUUAUAGUCAAUAAAGUCAUCCUAAUGGAGCUAUUGUUGUGACAAGUCAGUCAGGGGGGACAUUCAAAGCCAAUGGACAAAGGCUUAAACAUUAUAUCAGUGGAGAACCUAUUCAGCAGGAAGAUGAAAAGAACGAUGAUGGACAUGGAGAAUCACCCUCCGUUCCAUCACAAGCUCAAGACUGAUUGUACAAAAGGGGUCCAGCUAAAAGACCUUAAAGAAGCACUAUCAGGAGGCAACUUGAGGUUAAUAAAGUAUUUUGUUUAAGUCAAUAUGAGUUUUUCUUUUAUGUUUUCUUUGUUUUUUUUACUUACAUUAGGAUUGAAGCUCUGGAGUAAGCAGAAGAAUGGAGGGGAGAAAAUCAAGAGAAAAUCAUAUAUGAUUGGUGCGUGCAAAUGGCUAUUGAGCUGCACUCUCGAUUUUCCAAUCAGUGAGCUGUUUCAUGCCCAUCAAGAAUGAGCUUACACUAAAAUGUUUUUUUCCCACCAAAAUCUGCUAAAACUUUCGCAUGAAUCUUGAACUUUGGUGUGCGUAUUCCCCCUCAUUUGAAUCAGGAAUUUGAACAUCAUGCUCUUUGAAAUCAUACAUCUUUCGGUUAAGCUCUUCUGAAACUAAAUUGUUCCAUACGGUCUUCUCAAGGUGUCAAGGAAAUGAGUACAAACUCAGUUUAGUACCUGCACAAAAUUGGAAGUUACUUGUUUGUUUUACAGUAUUUCUGGACUUAACUUCGAUUUCCUGCAUUCUCUACAUUUGCUCUUGAAUAAUUCUGAAGUUUAAAUAAUACUCACUUCAUUCCUUAAAGAUUGGCAUAUUAGCUUUAAUUAAGACAAGGUUUUGACCACAAGUCAAGGUGUGGUUUAUAUGACAUGAAAUUAGUAUCGCUAGAUUGGUUAUCAAAAGUACUUCAUGAUACUUGUGGUUUCAUGUCAUAUAAAUUACACUUUAACAUAAUAAUUUGUGGUCAAAGGUUUGUCUUGAAAGCUAAUAUGCCAUUUUUUAAGAAAAGGAGGGAGUAUUCCGAAUGCAUAUUGUGUGUGUAGUCCAAUUUUGAGCCAAUUAUUCGGUGUCACUAAGUAGUUUGUCAUGUUCCCUGGAUCGGUGACAAGUGAACAUUGUGGCAUUGAAUAUAGAUUUCCUUUUCAAAAAUAUCUUGCUUUUCUACCUUUUGAUUCAAUAAGUGGUUAAUCCACAUCUUUGCAGUUAUGUUUCCAAUAAGUGGCUCAGCCACAUGAGUUGAUUCUAAUAAGUGGUUUUACCACACUGUUUUUAAUCUUUUCAAUAAGUGGCUUGGCCACAUGGUUCUGCAGCUUUGAAUAAGUGACUCAGUCACAUGUUUGCAAUAAGUGGCUGUGCCACAAUUUCUGUUCUACUCUCUGAAUAAGUGUCUUUGACACAUUGUGCGUUUUCAUUUUCUGCAAUUUUCACAAAACUACGAAGUUGUGUUCAAGCAUUUUCUGAAAUAGUUCAAGUUGCAAAUGCUUAGAAUGUGCCAAAUCUUUGUUAAGUUUAGGAAUAGUGAAACUCGAACAAGUAAACAACAAUAUUUCUGCCUGUACUAAUUUGUUUUGUACUAAUUGCCUUGCUAUCUAAAAGAAGAAGUUGGACUUUGAGCUUACUUGAGGACAAGCAAGAAUUUAAGUUUUGGGGUGUGAUGUGUAUCACAUUUAACAUAAAUUUUAUCCACACUCAUCUCAUUUUUGCUUGAACUUUAUUCAGUUUUCCUUUGUAGAUUAGCUUAUUUAGCUGAGACAAUACUCCUUUGGACCAUUUUAUUCGGUGAAGUGUUAAUUUACAGAUCGGCGCGACGCAAGGCGCAAAUGCUACUCACUGGAACCUUGAAGAGAGGCUGAUCUGACGGACCCACCUGUUAGAGAGCAAAGGCAUCAACUUGUGUAGAAAGUCAGAAAAAAAGAAGUGCAGAACCAAGGAAAGAAAAAGAAAAGAAGGCACCUUCUCGGUCCAUCGCCCCAACAGAAAAAGAAGAGACAUUAGAGCUGAGGCCUGAGGGGCAGAGGGGCAUGUGAGGGUGUUGUGCUGGGGAGGCUGAGAUCCAGAAUUCACGGAGAGAAAAGAAAACCAUGGGGGAAGCUAGGGUUUGCUGGAGAUCUCAAAUCCAGUAGCUCAUGAGACGGAGAUGAGUCGAGGAAACACACGCGAACAAGCUCUGUCCAGCUGAACAAUUCUUGCUUUCCCACCUUCUUUGCUGUCAAGUAAUUGGUUCUUCUCCUCAAUCCUUCUGCUGGCUUCAAGGGUGACCGAAUUCCCCAACCUCUAGCCUUAAUUCUUGUUCAGAACUUGUAAUCUGUUAGUUGCUGAAGCGAAUUCUGUCUCUACUCUCUGAAUUGCUUGUAAUCUUGACACUGAAGAAUAUUUGUGUGGUUUCUGUUAGUGUAAGAACUCAGAUCUUGUUAGUAGUAAACUUGUGUGCUGUGCUUGCUGUUAAUUUGCAACAUCAGUGCUCAGUUUAUUUGUAGUUCGUGCAAAGUAAAAAAAUACCAAAAAAAUAUUUCGUACCAGUUCAUUUCUUUCAGUACUUGUUUUAUUAGUAGUAUAAUUGUUCCUUCUAGCAGUGAUUAACUUGCAAGCUCGGUUUUAUCUCCUUUACCUUGUUGCUCUUCCUCCUGAAUCCCCUUUGCUUUUACUUGGGAGUUAAGACUGCUAGAUUCUAGGGUGUUUAGUUAAGAGUAAAAUUCACCGGGUCCUAAAACUAUUCGAGGGGUGUCAAGUGGAUCGUUAAAAUGCAUACGUGGACCCUAAUUCUUUGUAAGUUGUUCAUGUGUGGUCCAAUCGAGCCAGAGCGGGUGCUGACCGGCCAGGUGGCAAGUUGACCACCACGCUGGCUAACCGUUAGGUGCUGAAAAUUUGCAAAUAGGCCCAUCCUUCCAGUUAACUCAUUCGGCGGUCAUUUUCCCCAAUUCUCCCAUCCCGGAGUAGAGGCGACGUGGGUGGAAAUUCUAGGUUUUCCCCUCCGGUGAGCUUUGAAGGGGGCCGGCAGUGAGGUUGCGGCUUAUCUCCGCCUCUCUUCCUUUGUUUAUAUGGGUUUUUGAAAAAAUUUAGGCCAAAGCUACUUGCGGGAAAACUCCCGCCCAACAACCUCGUCUGACGUGGCAGCGGUCAACUUGCCACCUGGCCGGUCAGUAGCCGCUCUAGCUCGAUUAGGACCACGUGUGAACAACUUACAAACAAUUAGGGUCCAAAUAUGCACUUUUAAAGAAUUUGGAUUUACUUGCACUACUACAAAAACGCAUAUAUGUGACGAGAUAUGAGUGGCAGGUGCAGCCAGCCCGCCACUGAUGUCGAGCAUCAGUGACGGGUGGUCACGCGCCCGCCCCUGAUAAACAGCUGCAGACUUGCAAUUUUGGACCCGACAGACAUCAGUGGUGGGCUCUGCUCAUGACCGCCACUCAUGACUAGUCAUCAGUGGUGGGCCUAGCAGGCCCGACACUGAUAGUGGUUCAUCAGUGGCGGUCGGAAAGGCCUGCCACUAAUGGACACAAGUGAAAAAUUGUAAAAUUCAGAAAAACAUACAUCAGUGCCGGGCGUCGCGUAUAGGCCCGCCACUGAUGAUCCCUGGGGACCUAUGAAAAUUGAAAAAAUCAUAACUUAUUCAUAAAAAAUCAGAAAAACGUGAUUUUUUUGCUAAAGUCUUAUUUUUUCUUGAUUAACAUAUUGGAACAAUAAUACCAUAUGGUGACAUUUGAAAAAUGGCCUAUGUAAUACAAUCUUGUUAUUUCCCGUAGUUAAACUUUAGGUUUUAAACCAAGUGACCAAAGUUUUGUCCAUUUCUAUGGUAUAAUUCAUGAUAAUGUAUCCAUAUUUUUCACAAGUGUGCAUAUUCUCAUGAAAAACUAUAUUUUAAAAAUGUUUACAAAGUUUUGGUUUAAAAAAAUCAUUUUCCAUUUCCCAAAUGCGAAAAAUUGGAUAUUUUGUGAAGCAAGUAAAUUAAUAUGGUUCAAAAUGGCACCUAUACACUUUUCACACAAAGUAGAACUUGUUUCUUUGCAAAUGUCCAAAGGUUUUGAAAAUUCUGCACAAAAUGUACUAGUAUUAGGUAUGAAUGUUUAUGUGUUUCAGGGAACGGGUUAUUUUGUGAAGCAAAUACAAAUAAAAUGGUUAAAAAUGACACAUAUCAAGUUUCCAGAAAUAGUAGACCACAUUGAUGAACUCAUAAACCAAUUUACUUAUUUAGAAUAUUUGUACAUUAUAUGAAAACAAAAAAUACAAAUUAUGAACCCAUCAGUAUCGGUUCAUGCCGUGAUACCCGCCACUAAUGGCCAUUUAGGCCCAGCCCAGCCUGAGGGGCCUAGGGUUUGGAGGGAUACCCUAUAAAAGCUAGCCUCGUCUCCCCCAUCCCCAAUUUUUCCUCCCCCAGCCGCCACAUGCUUAUCUCUCCCUCUGCCCUCCCCAUCUCUCACCUUGUCUACCUCCUACACGAACAGCCCUAUCUCCUUCCUCACCAGCGCCACCGCCCCUCCUCCCUCACUGUGAUUCCCUCUCCACCUCCCACAUCGGCGGCCGGCGACGGCAGAGCACAUAUGGAGGAGCAGCAGCACCGGCAGCGCGCGCGUGGAGGAGCAGCGCCGGCAGCAACACGUGUAGGAGCAGCAGCGCGGGUGGAGGAGCAGCAGCGCGGGUGGAGGAGCAGCGGCGGCGCGUGGCGCUUGGAGGAGCAGCCGACGUCCAUGACGCCGGAUGACUGCCGUCGCCCCCCCCCCCCCUCCCUCCACCGCAGGCAGGUAAUCUCUCCGUACGUUCUCGCUCUCUCGGUUCGUCUCUCUCUCCGCCAUGACACCCUGCUGCCGGAUACCGGCCGCCUCACGCUCUCUCAAUUCGUCUCUCUCUCCCUCUGAUUUAUCUCUUUGUUACCUAUCCUUCUCUCCCUCUCUCUGUGUUCUCUCUCACUUUCAGAAGGUCGCCGUCGAUCUGUAGACGAGGAGGUUGUUUCUAAAUCGGCUGCAACGAGGCGAUGUAAUUUGUAGUUUUUAAUUGUGUUCUCUGUUGUCAAUCCAUGCGACGUCAUUUUGAUUGCUAAGUGUGUUCUGCUGUGAAUGCAUCCGAUGAUUUAAUUUUGAUUUUUCUUUACUCGGCUACUAUCUCUGCUGAUACAAUUAUGCCAGCAAUUUGUGUGUGAUUAGAACAAAAUAAACAUGGCUAGCAUAUAAUUAUAUGCUAGCCAUGAGCUUUUUUUAAUUAUGGUCACAACUCAUCAGUGUCGGUCCCUCUACUUGUGCCCGCCACAUGCCCGUUACUGAUGUUCAGUACAUUAGUGACAGGAAGUUAGUGACGGGCGGCCCGUCCGUUACUGAUAUGCUUUUUCGACCGUUACUGAUAACCAUUUCUGUAGUAGUGUUGACACACCUCGAAUAGUUAUAGGACCUGCGGUGCAUUUUACUCUUUAGUUAAUUUAAUCUGAGAGCUUUAAAUCUUUACUUGCUGCAUAUUUAAAUGUUUUGUUCAGUGGUUUGUAGAUCAAUUUUCCCUUUGGUUCUGUUUUAGCUUUGUCUAAUUGUUGUAGCCAAUAGAUCAGUCCUUGUGGAGAGAACGACAAAACACUUCCUAAAAUUACAUUCGUCGGGCAUGAUUGGAUGGGGCGAACCGUGGGGAUCGCGGAUCGGGGCAGGUGUGCGAGGAAUAGUUAAAGGAGGAGAGGAGUUGGAUCGGUACUUCAGGAAGGAGGCGGAUCGAGAGGUGCGAGGAGGGCGAGGAGGAGGCGGAUCGUGGAGGGCAGGUGUGCAAGGAAGUGUUUGGAGAGGAGAGAUGUUGGAUUGAAACUUCGGGGAGGAGACGGAUAGAGAGGACGUGAGGAGAAGGGCUGAGGACGUACUGUGACGACGACCGUAUCAUCGUCACCAACUUCAUUUUAAUAUAUUGAUAUAGAUACAGUCUUAAACGUAUACCACGCAGGUAUGUUCUCUAAAUCUAAUGUUCAACUUAGCUCAUAUUUAGCUGUAGGCUUUGGCGGGCCCGGUCCUCGGAGUGCAGCUGUGCAGCGCACCGGGCCCCAAGUUUCUAAGGCUCUCCUACCCGACGAUAUGUGUGUGUGCAGUAUGCUAAUGGGCCUGGCUCAAUUUUUUUUUCCAAUUUCCAUCCCGACUCGAUCCGUCGUCUUGGACUCCCGAUCGUUGUCUCCUGACGCGCGGCACUUGCCCGCCUGCGUGGAAGCGUCAUUAGAUCGUGUGGCCUCAUCGGUCAUCGGCUGAUUGAUCGCCUAGCUAGCCGCCCCUCAGUAAGCCUGCCGCUACGCUGUGCCCUGCGCCUCUUGCAUGCAGCAAGCCGGUUCGAGUUGGAGUCUUCAAAAUAUCAAAGCCGGCCUGCUGCUUCCGCAACCUGCAUCGUGUGGCCUGAUCGCCCUGCUGCCUGCACGCUGCAUCGCCGUCAACGGAAACGGGACUACGUACGGACGUGAGCCAUCUUACCUACCCAUCUUUGAUCUUUUGAUUCUUUAUGCUAGUUUCAGUUUGUAAAUUUAUCUAGUCUUGUUAAAUUUCAGAACUAUGAAAUCAUCGUCAUCUUGAAAACAUCCAUCCAGCAAUGCGAACAGCAGUAAAUUUAUCAGUCUCGUUAAAUUUCAGAACUAUGAGUCCUUUGUCGUCUAGAAAAGAUCCAUCCAGCGGUGAGAAAAGCAAAAGGAUUUUUUUAUAUAUAAGGAAUGUUAGAGAAAUGUUUAAGGUAACAUCUAUAAACUUAUAAGUACUCCCUCUGUUUCAUAAUUCUUGUCGAAAUAUUACAUGUAUCUAAACGUUUUUUAGUAAUAGAUACAUCCAUUGUUGGGCAAAUUUGAGACAAGAAUUAUGAAACGGAGGAAGUAGUACUUUUCCUAUCCACCCGAAAUCUCAUGACCGGGCCGGGGCAUCCUAACUCCGCCACUCAUUGCAGAUAUUGGGGAUCUCCAAUGGAACCCCCAAAAAUGGUCCACAUAGCUCAUUGGGGGGGGGGGGGGGGGUGGGGGGCGGUUGGGUACGGGGAGUCUCCAUUUGUGCAAAACAUUUUCAAACUUUGUCCACUUGUCUUCUUGUCCCACAUGUUAAAUACUCAUGAAGAGAUAAAUGGGGUUACCGUUGGACAGUUUGAUAUUUUACUCACCCCAAUUUGUCCAAAGAUCCCCUAAAUGGACAAAUGGGGAGGACAAAUGGCGACUCACCCUUGGAGAUGCCUUUAGGUGGCUGGAUUGGCAUGCUGUCAGCAGAAACUGACCACGCAAACCCAUCCCAAAGGGGUGGUGGCAGCCUGGCACGGUCACGGGGUGCCCGGACAUCUAAUAGUGGCACCUUCUCUCGUCGGUGGAACCGAAUGAUCAGUGCAGCAGUUACCUUAGAGCAUCUCCACUCCCCCGCCCCCAUAUGGCGUCUGGAGCUAGGCCAUAUGGGGGGGGGGGGGGGGCACACACAGUUCAUUUGAGGUCAAGCCGUGACCCAACCACACCCCCGAAACAGCGGUCCCAAAAUACAAUUCAAACAUUAAAGUUUUGCCGCCACUUCACAGGCCAGCCCAAAUCGCCUGAAUUUAUCACAAGUCUCGGCGAACAAAAUAACAUCAAACUUAAAUAAAGUAAAUCACUCGGCCCGAUGGUCCUCUGCCAGAGUUGAAGUCACUUCCAAGCUCGCCGGUGUUGUAGAAGUGGCCGGAGCUGUUUCGGGCGGUGAUGGUGCCGAUGGCAUAGAGGCGGCCGGAGCUUCCGUGUCGGGCAUCGAUGGUGGAGUCAAUGUUGUCGGCGCUCUCGCUUCGGCCAAAAUGAGCCUGCGUUGCCCGCCUUACCAUGCCUUCACCUCGUCGUCCAUGCCAGUGGUGUCGCAUAUCAAGUUCAACAAGUCCUCCCGUCACUUCUUCGCCGCGAUGUUCGCCUUGAGGACCUCCAGCUUGUCAUCUUUCUUCUUGAUCACUGUCGCCCACCAUGAGGCCGCGACCUCGUCCCUCUUUGCGGCUUGUGCGGUGGCGGCGGUCAUGCACUUCUCGAUGCAUGUGUAGAGGCGCUCCGUGGCCGGCACGGCAUCCCUCGCCGCCUUUGCCUUCUUGUGGCCGAUGGGCCGACCCCCCGCCGCCGCCGAAGGAGCGCCUUUUGGGUCGUAGGGGCGUCCUUUGACCUCGCGAGAGCAUUCCGCGUCUCCAUCCACUUGUCGCAUGUCUCAAUUCUUGCGAAGACGCGGAUGAACUUGAACGCGACGUCAUCGUUGUCCUCUCGGUAGGCGGUGAACAUGGUGACCAUCUACAAGAUGCCAGCCCGCAAAUGUAAAAUCGGCGACACAAAAAGAGUAAAAGACGAUGGCUUUACCUGAUCGUGGACGUUGCUGCCGCUUUGGGGUCGCUGACGCACCUCUUCUUAAAUGCCAUGCCAUUUGUUGCACGCUUGUUGGAUCAAUCCCCAACGGUGUGACAUGCUGCACUCGUUGCGCUCGUGGGUCAACAUCUGGAACUCCCGAUCGAUAGGCCGGCGCUCAUCAUAUGUCGCCUUCACCCCCUCCAAUAGGUGUCGGCAUUUUGAUUCGCGCCAGUGAAGGGGUCCAUGCUCACGGCUAUCGGCUCUAGGGAUACGGGGGUGUCCCGGAUACAAGGAGCGUGAGACACGGCCCCACCAUGUCAGCGUUAGGCUCCCCGGGGACGGGGUACCCCGGGGACUACCUUCCCGGGAGACUUGUGACCGUUCUCUCCUCCCUCGGGCCCGGGGCCGAAAGGCUCCAGGGGGGUGCCUGGUCUGGCACUUGGGGAGGGAAUGCGUCACUGCUUACCACAGCCAGUCCUGGGCGGCUACUUUGGCGCCCACGAGCUUGGACUGGUAGGAAUCUGCGCGUUCAAAGGCGUCCUCGGGACCGCGCGACUGUGGUGUGACGAUCGCUGGCGAGGACGACGUGCGGGAUGCAGCAGGUCCCCUUUACCUUUUGAUCGGCCAGCUUCCAUGCCGCGUCAGGACUAUCACCGUUUCGGCCCAGCCAGGGCCGAAAGUUUCUCUGUGCCCUCGGCAGGGUGGGUACAGAUCACUUUGGACAGGAGCCAUAGUGCAGGCGGACAGUUUCAUAUCGUCUUGUAGCGGGGAUGUUCCCAUGUAGCAACACGCAUGCUGGGUGCCCUAAGUUUGCCACUGUGGUGACCCCUUGAACUAUAAAAGGAGGCCCAAUGCCCCCAAAGAGGUUGGCAUCAAGGAUAGACCAGGCAUAAGCAGUUCGGGUAGGAGAAGGGUUGGUGUUCCGACCGCCAGAGAAGAGCAGCGUCUACUUCUCCCUCCUCCCCGGGCCGCCGUAGUUUAGGCUAGAGCUCGCCGCUCCGGCUGCUCGUUGUAACCUCUCCUUGUGCCAUCCACCACCAUUUAUACACUCAAAGCAGGAUGUAGGGUAUUACACCUUUGGGUGGCCCGAACCUGGGUAAAUCUUCGGAGUCGAAGUCCUUACCGGUGAGGCUCGGAGCACUCUUCCCGCGCCCCACUCUACCUAAACUAAAAGGGGGUGUCUGCACUCCCUAUGUCCGUGUUCACACACACGCACGACCUUCGAAGCUUCAGCAAGGCACUCAUCCUCCUUGGAAGUCUACUUGGUUCCUCAGCCUUCGCCACCGACCUUCUUCUUCUCGUCUGCCACCUUCUUCUUCCCCUUCGGCUCAGCGACGGUGGGCUACUCGGUCUCUUCUACCAUGUCGUAGGUCUCCUCGCCAGCGUAGGCUUCUUCUUGAGUGUAGGUGUAGUGGGCAUGCUGGGAGCCGUCGUCGAUCAUGUCGGCCAUAAUAGACUCGCCUUGUGACAUUCCACCAAACGGGUUGGGCGCGGCCUAGGUGCAGUUGACGGGGAAGGUGUUCAGCUAGAAAGAUGCCGAUGGCGAAGAUUCGGCAUAGGAAAAAGGCCCACGCUGCAAAGGAGGCGAGGCGAAGCUGUUGGGGUUGAAGCCGCCAAGAGGAUCCGUGGCAAAGGUGUUUGGGUUUAAGCCGCCGAGUGGAUCGGUGACAGGGUAGUCCGGCAAGAACCGCGAGAGCGACGGUGUGGCAUUCCCAUGGUUUUCAUGGGACAUCUGGGGCGACGCCGGCUAAAUGCUCGGCGGUUACGGUGACGGUGACGACGAUGAGCUCCCUUGGUUGCUGCCGCUCCAGUAUUGGCCGAAGGAAGGCAGUGGCGCCGCCCUGCCGGCCAUGGUCGCGGCCAUCUGUGCCGCAGCCGCGACCCUCCAUGCAUCCAGCUGCCAGGGCAGGGCGGCGUUCCUCUCCUUGGUCAUCUUCUCCUGACUUCGGCGGGCGGCGUUCUCGACUUGGAAACAGGAGCAAUCCGCGAGCCAGACGGCGGUGCUCAUCCCAGGUGGACGCUCGACCCUCAAUCUCUUCGGCAUUGCGUCGCCGGGCACCGUGGAGCGAGCGCUGCGUACCUCUUCGGUGGCAUGGCUUUGGGGUGUCGGCGGUGUCUGUGGAGAAUGGAGGGAAAAAAGGUGGGCCAACGAAACUUUGGAGGGAAUUUUGGAUUAUCUUGCCAAUAGGAGUGCCCGCCUUGCUUUUCGGCUUCAGCUAGCGCCCCCCAUCACCCCCCCCCCCACCGCGAGUUGGGUGCGGGUUGGGGUCACCGGCUAAAUUCUUGAGCCGCGCCAGCUACUUUUCAGAAUUGGGGGGGUGAGCUGGGUAGUUUUUUCGGUGCUGGCGCCCCCAUUUGGCCUUUGGGGGACCUUUAGUGGGGCCGGCUAGAGAUGCUCUUACCCACCGUGCCACCCUCCCUCUAGCCUCUUCUAUGCAUCUCCUUAUAAGCAAUGGAAGGGAUGGAAUGCACACUAACCUAGUGGAGACGCUGCAACCCACAUUGAAGCGUAACGAGAUUAGCCAACAAGUAAGCUACUGAUGUACCAUCAUCAGUAACGGUCACUGGACCGUUACUGAUGUAUAUAUCAUCAGUGGCGGGCUGGCCGACCCAACCGUUACUGAUGUAUAUAUCAUCAGUAACGGUCGCGUUACCACAUCAGUGUCGGUCGAGCGAUCGACACUGAUACAUUUUCGGUAUUUAAAAAAAUAAUUAAAACCAUAGAAAAUACAUAUAAUGUAUAUACAGCACAGCACAGAAUGUAUAUAUAGCACAACACAUAAAAAUACAUAUAAAGCCGCAUCACAUCACAGCACAGCACAGCACAUCACAUCACAUCAUUUAAAGCAUAUAAAUGUAUAUAAAGCCGCAUCAUUUAAAGCAUAUAAAGAAUACAAAAGUAUCUCACUUCACGACAUUGAUUACAAAGUGUCAAAAUUUCAUAGAAGCAUAUAAAGAAUACAAAUAUAUCUCAUUUCAAGUUUGAAGCUAUUGUUGCGGGUGAACCCUAGACACCACUUGUUCCACGCGUUCGUAGAAGUACCCACUAGGCUUGAUGACCUCAUUGUUGAUGAGAUGGGCGGACUCCCUUUGAAUGUUAUACACGACCCAUUUAGGUAGGUGUCCCAUUGUCAUUCAUCGCCGUGACUGACCCCUUCCACUCAGGCUUGAACAUGCUGGCAUUCUCCAUAAGGAUGUGAAUGCUAUACAUAGCUCCUUCAAGUUGUGGCUCCCCCUCGGUGUCUUCUUCCUUGGCUUCUUAGCGGGAGUUUCAGUUGGCUGCGGGUUACUCUCUUCCACCCGUCGCUCGUUGUCGCGCUCUUCUGAACGAGAGCUACCUGAGCCAGAGCUGGCAAUUUGCUCUGUCGAUGAAGACUCUUCAUCGACACGAUCUACCUCCUCCCGAUCAAGAACUGGUUUCUGGCUACUCUUGCCCAUUUCGUACCUAUGCCAUCAAAACCAUCAAAUAUGUAUCGGCCGAAAAUUUUGGCAUGACCUAUGCUAAAAACUAGCAAUUUUUCUCUACUAGGAGCUCGAAACCUGCAUAAAAACCCACCCGCAUAUGUACCCCCUCGGCACGAUGGCCGGCCCCUUCUCCAAUGACCCGACACGAUGGUCGGGUCCACAAUUCAUUACUUAAUUCUCCAAAAUAGCAUAUAAAACCGCUAUAUAAAAAACUACAUGUAUAGCAUAUAAAACAACAUGUAUAUAGCAUAUAAAACAUCAUGUAUAUAACAUAUAAAAAACUACAAUGCAUAUACUCAUGUGUGCUAUAUAUUAUCAAAUGCAUAUACUCAUGUGUGAUAUAUAUUACAAUGCAUAAAACAUCAUGUAAAAUGUGCUCACUACAAUGCUCUGUAACUCAAUACUAUAUCAAAUUCACAAUGGUAAUUAAAAUGUAUCAAUGUUACAAAUUAGCUAUUACAAUAUGUGUGCCCAUCUAACUCAAUACUAUAUCAAAUUCACAAUGUAUACAUGCCCUGGUGUGUGGUGGGAAAUGUACAUCUAAUUUGAUAUAAAUUAUCUACUACUACAAACUACAAUGGUAAUCCUAAAUUAACAGCAACAAAUCCUAAAUCCUAACCCUAAAUUAACAGCAACAAAUCCUAACCCUAACCCUAAAUUAACAGCAACAAAUCCUAACCCUAACCCUAAAUUAACAGCAACAAAUCCUAACCCUAACCCUAAAUUAACAGCAACAAAUCCUAACCCUAAGUUAACAGGAACAAAUCCUAACCCUAACCCUAACCCUAACCCUAAAUCAAGCUAAAGAGGAGAGGGAGGGAGGCAGAGGAGAAGGAGGCAGAGUCACGCACCUGUGGCUCGGGGAGGAGGGAGACGGCAGCGCGGGGUGGCGGCGCUCGGGCUCGGGGACGAGGACGCGGGGUCGGGGAGGAGGACGACACGGGGUGGCGGCGCUCGGGCGAGGACAACAGCGGGGUGGCGGUGCUCGGGGUCGGUGACGAGGACGACGAGGCCGCUGGCGGCGGGCUCCAGGCGAGGACGGGGAGGCACGGGCUCGGGGCGGAGAGGAAGAUGGCGCGGAGGCGAGGACGAGGAGGCCGUCGCCGGGCUCGGGGCAGCGCAGGGUCGACGGUGGCGGCGGCGCGAAAAUCUGGCAGCGCUUCGCUAGGGUUAGGGAAGCGCCCACGGCUGAUCUCUCGGGUUAGGGGAGGACGCGCAGGCGAGAAUGAGACUAAAUGUUUCGGCGUGUUCCCUUAUAUACCCUAUAUACAUCAGUAACGGGCGGGUAAGGAACGCGACCGUUACUGAUGUUCCUUCAAUCAUCAGUAACGAGCGCGGAACAAAACGCCCGCCACUGAUGUGCUCAAGUGAGCAAUGCUCAACAGAACAUCAAUAAUGGUCGCCUUGUUACCCGACCGUUACUGAUGUGUGCAUAUACUCAUCAGUAACGGGCGGGUAACCAGGCGACCGUUACUGAUGCGUUCCCAUACUUGUUGGGAUAGAUGAAAUCAAAAAUCCAUGCAUUGUGUCUAGUUUUUUUUUUGGGAGUGACAAAGCAAUGUACUAACAUGCAUACACAAAAGUACAUCGAUCACACAUAAUUUCACUUAGUACAAAGUUUGCAUUAAGAUUCAGUACGGGUACAUUUUACAAUAUGACUACUAGUGCUUCUUCUUCCUUCGGUAAGUCAUAACUUGACUCCUCGCAGAACUGCUUCUGAGGUAGGGUUUUUGUGGUAUUUUCUCGCUCUCGCUCCCAUCACUUCUUCUUUUUCCUCUCCUUUUCCUCGUUAAUAUCGUGCGUUCCGCUUCUUCGUCAUUUGCGGCAGUUGUCGGAUCAUGAAAACCUUCGUAGUCUUCUUGUGAAGUAACUCCAUCCACUCCAACAAUGCUUCUUUUCCCUCUUCUUACUACGGCGCGGCCUUUAUUUGCUGGGUCGUCUAUGUAGAAUACCUGCUUGCAUUGUUAAGAAAAGACCCAUGGUUCCUCUCUUGCAUCCCUUCAAGGGUCUUUAGCAUCCAACCACUUUCGGUGGCCCAUGUAAACAAUUUUGGAUGUCGUGUUUUCUCUGCACAUUGUACAGGCCUUGUAGCCAUGUGUCACCUGGCAUGAAGUAUUUCCAUUCGCGGGGUAGUCAUGCACGCAGGUCAGAAACGCUACUCUCAUCGUGAAGUACUCCCUCCUGUUUGCGUCCCAAACCACUCUGCCAGGGUUCCAAAGCUGCUUCAGCUCAUCCUUCAUUAGCUGCAGAUACACAUUUAGGUCAGCUCUCGACUGCCUUGUACCCUGUAUGAGCAUGCACAUGUGGAUGUACUUUCUCUUCAUCAUUAACCAUGGAGGAAGGUUGUAGACAAACAAGAUACUGGCCAUGUGCUGUGCUUGUUGUUCAUGUUUCCGAAAGGAUUUAUCCCGUCAGUGCUGAGACCGAGCCUCAGGUUUCUGGGCUCUGCCCCGAAAUUCGGAAAUGCCAUGUCGAAGUUUCUCCACCGAGUCUCAUCAGCAGGAUGUCUUAGGACCCCAGGUUCCUCCACACGGUAGUGCCCGUCAGGAUCGAAUGCAGCCUGCGCCGGAUCGUGAUGGACGAGAUACCUCAUGUCCUUAACGUUCUGCAUCCAACGUUCAACUCGGCCGCCUGCCGUAAGAUACCAGACAGUCUUUGCCCAAAGACCUGCCCUUCAUCACUUCUUUCCCAUCGUCUUCGCCAGCUCUGGCGUUUUUCUUCUUGUAUCUCGAUGCAACGCAUAUGUGGCAGCUCUCAUGGUUCUCGUAUUCUCCAAUGUAUACCAUGCAGUCAUUUGGACAUGAAUGAUGUUUCACGCAAUCUAAUCCAAGCGGGCAUGGAAUCUUUUUCGCCUUGUAUGUGCUCUUGAGCAACUUCUUUGGCUGUGGAAAAACCGAAACAAGGUAACUCAACAAGUCCGUGAACCCUUGUCUGACCAGCAUGAUGCUGCCUUCAGCCUCAAAAGUUCGAGCGUCACUUCGAGCACGUUGUUUUCUUCGCCAGCUCCAUCAUACAAGGGUGUGUUUGCGUCUUCCAACAAUUUUUUGAACUGAGCAGACUCUGCCUCAUCUUCGGGGUCCUCCAGCUGGUCCCGUACGUACGGGUCAUCUAGCAUUUCGGCAAUCCUGCCACGUGGAGCUCCUUCACCUUCCACAUUAGCCUCCUCAUCAACCCUUGUUUCUUCUUCGGAAUCAUUCACCAGAUCAUACCGCAGGACAUCAUCAUCUUCGCUACUGCUACCGACAUCAACCGCAUCCUCCUCGUGACAAGUCCAGCGAGAAUAACCUUCCACAUAACCCGAUGCCAGCACGUGCAUCUGAACAUCUUCAGGCUUCAUCAUGCAUGUGUUUCCACAUUUGCGACAUGGACAACGCAUCAUCACAAGUCCUUUUCGUUCCAUAUCACCUUUGGUGACUCCAAAAAAGACCGUCCAUUCGGUUAUCCAACGAGCAUUGAUUCUUUCCUUGGCGUACAUCCAAGAACGAUCCUUUGAUCUACAACACAAUACACAAGAAAACAAACGAAGCAAAAUAGUUAGCCUAAUCAUUGACAAGGGGAUUAAGGUGUUAAUUAACCGGAGCUAACUAAAAAUUUGAAAUUAGAGAAAUUGGAGGCCGGCGAGAAAGAUCGGGAGGGAGAGAGAGCUUGCAAGGGAGAGGGAAGCUCCGGGCGACGACGAGGAGGCCGCAUUUUGGCCGGCGGCCGGAGCUCAAAAAUUUGAAAUUGGGUAACUUCGGAGAGAAAUUGGAGACCGACGAGAUAGAUCAGGAGGGAGAGGGAAGCUUCGGGGUCGAAGAUCGGAGCUCGACGGCCAUGGAGAUGGCGGCCGCCGGCGCGGGGGUGAGAGAGGAGGAAGGGAGAGGGAGGAGGGGCUACCUGGGGGGCUCACCGGCGGCCAUGGCGCCGUCGGGCAGCGCUUCGUCGUCGUCGGAGAAGAAGGGGCCGCAGCUAGUCCGUUACGACGCGCAGCGCGACCAGGUGCGGCUCUGUUCUUCGUAUUUAAACCGCGAUACUCAUCAGUGGCUGUCGGGAAUUGGGUGACCGUUACUGAUAAUAGGGGGUACAUCAGUAACGGUCGAGUUAGGGCGACCGUGACUGAUGCGUGGUUCAUCAGUGACGGUCGUCUCUUAACCGACCGCAGCUGAUGUAUGGCUGGGCGGGGACGGACAGACCCAGCUCUGUUCAUCAUUAACGGUCGUGGCCGCGACCGACACUGAUGUUGUUCAUCAGUAACUGUCACACCGGACCCGUUACUGAUGUGCCGUUGCAUGUAGACCGUUUUGUAGCAGUGCCUUAGCUAGCUGCUGCCCUUCUUGCCGUCGCAACAGCCCCAGGGAAACCACCGGCAAGCUGAGUGCCGACCGGAGACGACAGCGCGUGGAAGGGCGGCAGCACGCUGGAGGACCGCAGGAAGCAGCUCGCGGGUGCUACGACGCAUUCUUAAUUAAUGCCGCGUCAUGGCGAAGAUCAAGAGUAAAGGCAAUGGGCCAUUGGUGGUCUUUUGGCUCCUCCUGGCACUGGCAGCCAGGGUGGACGUCGGAGAAGAGCGAGCGGCCCGCGUUGAGAUGGAGGAGUGGCGGACGCCGGAGGACACGGUGGAGCCGGAGCUGGACCAGGCCAGGGACCUUCUUGUAUCUGCUGCUGGUCGUAUCACCCCGGACGUGUAUAACGGAAACCAGCAGGUGCGCCUCCCGCACAGCGGCUGUGCAGCGCGAGGAGGCAUCAUCAAUGGUGGAAGAGGCAAUUUAUGUAUAUACCAUAACCCAGAGAGGAACUCCUAGUGGCGACGAUGAUAUAGUACAUGGAUGCCCUGUUACAGUACUACGGAUUACUCCUUCCGAUCCAUAUUUGGACAAAUCCAAGACAAUUGAUAUGGAUCAGAGGGAGUAUUUUUUUUUUGUUUAUUAUUUGUUGGUGACUUGUACCGGUUAUGGAUUCUCAAAUAUACUCAUGGCAUUUAGUUGCCGAGCAACUUCUUCUUUUCCUUAACCGUGCCAAUACAUUGUAAUCAUUUUUUAAGGCUCUCUAUUUUCGCAAAUAGAAACGAUGGACUCUCUCUCUCUCUUUUGGGUCUGACUUUGGCUCAGUCAAUUGAGAAAUAGGAUUUCUUCGUCGACCAGCCAGAUAGGUGUCCUACUCCAGCGAACAAAAUUCCUAGAUGGUUGGUAGUAGCCGGAGCUAGCUAGCUUUACGGGCUUUCCUUAGCAAGCAGCAGGUUAAUCACCGUAAAAUGAGCCUUGGACUUUUGUAUUUCUGCUUGCAAGACCAGUUUUGGCUGGAAAAAACUGACGGAUCAAUCUUGAGGAAACCACAAGACAUGAACAGCACACACAAGGCCAAGGCAAACCAAGCAAGCAUUGCAUCGCCAUGACAAAAAAAAUUAAAUGGGAGAAAGGAAAACAUCAACAAAAAGAAUAAUGAUUAAAUUUUGAAAAUUGCGGGUGAAAUUUGAUGAACAAUUAAUUUUAAAAAAUACGGCUGAAAUUUGAUGUACAAUUAAAAUUGCACGUGAACUUUAGGUGUGACUUUAAAUUGCGGGUGAAAUUUUAGGUGCGAUUUUUAAAAUUGUGCGUGGAAUUUUACGUCCGAUUUCAAAAAUUACGCGUGAAAUUUAUUUGCACUUUUCGAAUUGUAGGUAAACUAUCCAUUGUGCAUUUCUAAGAAGAAGAAACAGAGCAUUUCCAUGGCAUCCCCUAAAACCAUGAACAAAAAAAGCUCAUAACCCGGGGCUCACCGUGGACACAGGUUGCAUACUAUUAGUUCCCCAAUCAAAGAAGCUCCAAAGCCAGAGAGAUACAACAGGAAAGACCAAAACACGGAAAUAGAAAGACAAAAAACAAAGCUGCACCAGCCAGCCCACCUGCACGGCCUGCUACAAACAUCACGCACGCCAGCUGAAAAUCCCUGAACGAAACAAGCAGACACAAAUUCUAUAGUGCACGGAUCUCCACACAUGAAUGGACGAAUAACACAGUCGACUGAGAAGUUUAAUUUCUCAGGGGACUGUGAUUUAGCAAAUCCGCUUUUUUUUACAACCAAUUACGAUGCCUAACGCAUCAUAGCUUUAUUCUGUUCCCUGGGGAUUGGGGAAGACACGCAGAGAAGUUACACACAUCUACGGUCACUAGGCCUACUAGACGUUGGAGUGCAUGGUGUGGCCCAAUUACGCAGGAAAUGAACCUCAGGAUGACCUCCGGGUUCCGGCCCGCACGUCUCCGUAUCGUGAUGGUUGGGUCGAGGCGAGAGGUCUAGGACUGAACAGCCGAAUAUGAAGACAUCGCCGCGGAGCUCAUGGUGCAAUGGAAGCCAUAGCCCGUCGCUUUUCCUUUAUUUUUGCGGGUAAAAAAGGAUGUAUUAAUCAAAGCAACACAUUACAUUCUUCGAGAACCAAAUCCACCGCAGGCGGAGGACCGGAACCCAGCCAAAGACCGUCGCUUUUUCCGCUGUAAGAAGUACUUGUCCUAGCAAAUGCCCGUUGAGCCACGGAUCAAAGCUUUAAUUUAACAUGGGAGUGCCAAUAUCAUCGCUGCCAGCCCGCCACCACGGAACAGAAACUCGAUGGCCUCCUUAGCUGCUGGGUUGCAAACAAAGAUCUCCGUGCAUGACGAAGAUAUGGUCGGUCACUGCACCUCGUCCAUCAGCCUCUGUUAUGGUGUAACUGACACCUCCUCAGAUCUAAUUCGGUUAAUGGUGAUCUAUGGGGAUCGGCCGUUCACAUCACAUCGUCCAUCUUGCGGGGGGGAAACAGGCACCGAGGCACAAAUGGCGAUUGGCGGCCUUGCACAAGCAGCGGGAGAGGUCGAGGCAUACAUGAUUCCUGAUGGCGUUGGGCCAAGAGCCAGGACCGACAGACAUACUGAAACCGUGGCCGAGAUCCCACGCCGAGAUCCACCAGAACAUCCCAUGUCAGUGGCCAUCAGUUUUUUUUUUACGGGUGUUCCUGCAUUUUAUUAAGAAGAACAUAAUGGUUCCGUUUAUUUUGGAAAACCGAGCCAAAAACCACACAUCAGUUUAAAUUUGUGAAUUUGUGGCCCGGCCUUCUCAGAACCCAUCUGCUUACUCAUAUUUUCGUACUGUAAUAUUUUUUGAGUAAUAUUUUCGUACUAAUUGAUUCAAGUCCAGUAGGUCAUGGCCUCUGCAUCGACGACAUUACCUACUACAUAUACUUCUCCUUUUACAUCACCGAUGUAGGAGUACACUAUAUAGUAUUCUCCCGUUAUAUAAUUUUUGUUUCAAAUUUGUCCAAACAUGGAUGUAUCUAUUACUAAAAAUCGUGUAGAUACAUGUAAUAUUUUGACAAAAAUUAUGAAACGGGUGAGUACUUUUGUUCGAACCGCAGAGGUGGAGCAGCGUUGAAUUUGAACCAGCUAGUGCCCGGCACGCAUGCGGGGUUCUGGAGUUUGAUCAAAUCCUAGGGACCCCCAGGCUCGGGCAAAGUUUGGUUUCAAAAUCUUCCUAAGAAACACACUGUAAGGCUAGAUGGAUAGUGCCCACCCACGAAUUGCAAAAAGACUUGUGGUGGAAUGCCCACUCACGAGGCCACCUACUCUGUGAAUGGCCGGAGGUGCUCGAUGCUAUUGCUACUACCUCAUCUCCAUAUAAACCCUCCAAGUGCAAACCGACCGAGAGCAAGGCAUUGGCAACAGACGUUUCUUCACUUCGUCGCUGACCUUCUUGCCGUGUCACGAGGAGGCCGGAGACACGAGGUACGUACAUUCAUAAAUACUGUGUUAUGGAGAGCAAGAACAAUGUGCUGUUGGUAGUCGCUUGCCUCCUUCUCCUGGCAGCGGCGAUGAACGCCGGAGAAGGUUGGGCAGCCCGCGGCGAGAUGGCGGCGUGGCGGAGACUGGAGGAUACGUUGGAGCCGGAGCUGGACCAGGUCCGAGACCUUAUUUUGUCUGGUGGUUAUAUCCACCUGCCAAAUAAGUUUGAUCCAGAUCGGCCGGCGUGCGAUCCCGCCUGUGCGGCACCAGGACAACCCUACAGGCCUCACCCUAUUUACUGCAAAGACCACAACCCAGGGGCCAAGUGUAACUAGCUAGUAGCGACAGUACUGUACAUCCGUACAUGGAUCGGAUGCACAUGGGUUUGUUUAAAUACAGAGCAAUAAUCUAAGCUUUAAAAGAAGAGAAGGAUUGUGGAUUGGCUUGAGUUCUUCUCAGUCAUGCAUUCACAAAUGAAGUGUGCGUCGGUAUGUUUUGCUGGGAAACCUUGCUGGUGCCUUGGUGAGCACUUAUCUAAACCUAUGCCUAGAAUAUAAAUAGAGCCAAUCUACCGCUUGGAAGCACUGAUCAAUGUUUUGCUGGGAAACCUUUCUGGUGCCUUGGUGCUUUCUACUUUGUCAAUCAAUUACCGCAUAAACGCAAUAAUUCUUGCAGAGGAAUCUUUUACCGGACCAUAUGCGUGUGCUUAUUGCUGCCACUGCUGAACUGCUGAUUGCUCCUUCGUCGGUGAUCUGUACAUUGGGCAUGGCUGGCGCAACAUUUUUUUUUCUUUUGUUUGUUAAAAGAGAUCAGGAUAUUCUCCCGGUCGGUUUCUGCGUCUAUCAGUGCACACAACCAUAAUAUUAGUAAAGUCGCAAAUAGCAAAAAUAUAUCAAUUAUUACAACUCAAAAUGACAACAAAUGCCUGAUUUCUUGAUCAUCAUUUAAGAAAUAUGCCUCCAUCUCUUUGAUGCAGUGUUGGUCUUUCUAGUAAUCGGUCUGGCUCGUUUGGUAUUGCAAUCUGGCUUGCAUUUCACUUUCAGUUUUGAUGGAGUUGAAGUGACGAACCUGAUUAUCCAUUCCCAAUGUCAGACAUUGUUGGUUCAGAUCACAAAGAUCUGCAACGGAAGUUUUAUCGCCCGACAAUAUCUUGACAUGAACAGUAGCGAUUUCCUGCCUCGCCUCUCGCGAUUUCUACUGCUGGCAAUUUCCUGAAUUGCCUCGAUUCUGUUGCACAGCUACGACAGAAAGAAUCUCUACCACGGCAGACAGCUGAGCCGUCGCGGACCAGAGAAGCACUGCUGCUGCCGCGCCAGGAAAUUCUACUGACGCGGCAGAACAGACAAAAGAAGUCCAGUAAACUUCGGGGGAAGGCUUAGGCGAGCUACCGCCACGCCUGAGGUGUCGAUAUGUACGCGUACACAUCAUCUGUCUCUAGUAAUGCUUCCCCCCCUUCAGCCUCCGAAGAAAAUAAUCAGGAAAUAACCCAAGCCAGCUAAAAUGACCUCGUGUGCAACAAGUUCCAAGUGCCGGCUAAGUGUUGAGGAACCAACCACGUUUGAGGCAGCAACUGAGGAAGAAAGUUCGCGUGGCAAUGAAAGAAGAGUUGUAUUUGAUAGAAGACAACAGGACAUGGACUCUUUGUUGACCUGUCCCAUGGUCAGAAAGCAAACAAGCCCAGGUUAGAGGCUAAAGGAUAUGUUCAAGAGCAAGGUGUAGACUUUGGAGAAGUGUUUGCCCUAGUGGCGAGGAUGGAUUAAGUGAGGCUUUUGAUAGCUCUUGCGGCUCAGAAUAUGUAGAAAAUUGCAUCAUAUAUAUGGACGUGAAAUAUAAUAUGUUUAAUUUUUUGAAUGGAGAGUUAGAAGAGGAAGUAUAUGUGAAGCAACCUCCUGGGGGAAGAACACAAAGUGUUUACACUAUACAUAAAACAUUAUAUGGCUUGCAACAGGCACUCGGCUUAGGAACAUCAUGUUAGACCGAAUGUCGGGGGGCUGACCCCGGGUAGGAUCAUGACGACACGUAUUAGCCGGGAUAGCGAGAGCAACGCCGACGUAAGCAAGUAUGCCGGCAUUGUUAAGCCGACUUUAUAACAUCGGUAUGCCGGCAUCUCUAUAUUGUCUUAUGUGACUGCAGGAUAAGCACGAACUAUCUAAUCUCGGCUAGGGCCGGGAUAGGCCAACGAUCCUAUCUUGGUCGCAUGGCGCAAAGUAAAGCAGUGCUCCCUUUAUGACGGAAAAGCAGUCGUUGCUCACGUCGCUGUGCCGGACGACUGCACAGUGACGUGCCGUAGAAGGACAGGUGACGAAGGCCGGGGCGUGGCUACAAUGCGCGCCGUCUGGCUGUACGUAAAGCACAAAGCAACAUUGUCCCCUCCCGGACAAUCCGGAGGGGACCAUGGGCGUACCCGGCGGGCCCAGGAGUAACUAGGGUUUGCUUUCGGCCCACAUGUCAGUGUGACAUCUUUAGCCUAUAAAUAGAGGCUCCACCCCUCCUGUGAGAGGGGUUACUCUCUUAGCCAUUAGGAGUUGUCCUUCUUCUUCUUCCUCCUCUGGACACAGCUCAAGGAGCACCAUUGUAGCCUCUUGUAUCUCGACCAAUACAAACAAGGCAAGAGUAGGAGUUUUACCUCAUCUAGAGGGCUCCGAACAUGGGUAAACCACCAUGUGUUCUUACUUUCGUGCGUGGUUUACACUGCACCAUCCCUCCUCCGGAUCCUCCUUCAUCCAUCGGCCCCAUCUUAAGUCAUCCUAUGGCAUCUGCUGUGACACCACCACGACAGUUGGCACCCACCGUGGGGCCAGCAGCGGCGCUGGCUGGAGUUUUCAUCCGGACGGAAAGCUUCCUCGUCACCGGAGAGUGCGUUGUCUCUGGCUUGGUUUAGAGAUUCAGCUCUCUGGGCUUCAUCGACAACAACGUAGGCUGCUUCAACAACAUGCCACUUCCCUGCACAGGCCGCUUCAUCAACUUCGGUAUGCACGAGGUCUACGUUGCCACUGACACUCCUUGCAGGUAUCCCGAGCAGGUGGUGGUAGCCGAGGAUCCCCCGCCAUCUGCAUGGCUCACGGUCGGCAUGUCGACUGCCCCGCUAGCCGUGUGGAGGUCAUGAUGACGGCUCAAGGCGGUGAUGCUGGCAAGGGUGCUGCAGAAAGCGUCGGACUCCCGAGCAAGUCCAGGAGAACGGCGCGACCCCCAAUGGAGAAGCCGGAGAACAUCGUUGCUCAGGCCGGCACAUCUGCUGCGCCGGCAAAGCCGACUCCGCUCCAGGCCGCCAUCGAGAGGUUGACGUUGCCUGUGGCUCCAAAUGCUAACUCGGCCCAGCUUCAGGCUGAGCUGGAGUUGGAACGCCAGAAUCUACUGCAGGAAGCUGUCGACGUGGCUCGUGCUCGGCAGGAGCUCGAGAUUUCACUCAGUGAGUAUAACAAAGCUCAUGGUCUCAAUUCUACUGCAGUGCACAACCCUAGCCAAGUUGGGGAAGUGCGUAACCGUGGCAGAAAUUUGAACGCCGAGAUAGCUAGGGAAUAACCUCAGGGCAACCGAGGCUGCAGCAGAAGAGUUGCCAAAUCUCACGGGAGGCACUCCGACUGCAGCAGUUGCGUGUGAAGGAGUUGCUUCGCACGGCUAACAAGCAAAACGAGGCAUACAUGAGGUUGCACGGCAAGCCCGGUGCAUCUCAGAUCAUUCACUCAGCCGCAGGCGCUGGCGGCCGAGCCGACAAGCAAGCGUCUUCACCUGGCGGCAGACGGGAUAAGAGUGUCAACUCCGGCCGAGACAAGCGGCUGGAUGAUUAUGAUCCGGCAUUAGCUGGAAAGCAAAUGGUCGGGCGAGUUGAUGAUGGUCAAAGUGGUCUACAUCUCGGUGACAAUCGCCGAGAUCCACAACAGCGUCACUCGGCAGGUCAUGGACGCCAACCUCGGGGUCCGGCGCCCAAUACUGCUGCAGGUCAGCAGGUUUCUGGGCACAACCCCCUGCAUCGAGGUAAAGAUCGUCGGCAAGUCCGUUACAAUGACGGAUACUCGGCUAUGGGAGAUGAAGGCUAUCUCAGGUGGGAGCGUGACAAUGUCGGCCCACUCGGAGCCCGAGUGAGAAACCGGCAGGUGUCGCCGUUAGAUGCCCGACAUCGGUUCGACAGAAUCUAUUUGUCGGGACUUCUGGAAGAGCAAGACCCUCCGGGACCGUGUUGUUUCGCUCACCGGAUCAUGAGAGAGAUACCAACCCAGGGUUUCCCACUACCCAGGGGCACGAGAACGUAUGACGGCAGUGCGAAGCCGGAAGACUGGUUGGAGGAUUAUGUCACUGCAGUCCAUGUGGCAGGUGGCAAUCGCAGAUGGGCGGUACACUAUGUACCCCAAAUGCUAGUAGGGCCGGCGAGAAUUUGGUUGAAUAAUCUGGCAGAGAGCAGCAUCAAUUGCUGGAUAGAUUUUGAGGAAGCCUUUGUCAGUAACUUCACCAGCACUUACAAGAGGCCUAAUCGCCCUCAGCAACUGUCCAUGUGCAAGCAAAGGGACAAAGAGACUGACCGAGACCACCUGACAAGAUGGAAUAACCUCUGUAACUCCUGUGAAGGGAUAGUGUAGUCGCAGGUCAUAGCAUGGUUUGCUCAAGGAUGCCGACAUGGCAGCAUGUUGUGGCAGAUGCUGCAGAGGGAAUGCCGGUCACUUUGUCCGAGAUGAUCAAGAUUGCGGACAUGUAUGCGUUGGGUGACCCAACUCAGCCAUCGCUGAUGCCGGCAGAGCAACACAGAGAGCAGCCGACAUACAAUCCUGCCGGAGCAUUCCGGAGAAAUGAUCAUCAAGAUUACCGGAACAAAAGAAGGGAUGAUAGGCCGGAUUACCGGUAUGGGCCAGCCCAUGUGGCAGCCAUCCAAGAUCAACCUGAUGCCUGCGCUAGACAUGAUUUUUAUCACGGAGCAAACCGACAAGCAGAGCCAGCGUCGGCGUGAAGCAGCCCCUUCGACGCUUCGCUGAUGACAGAAGGAAAAUCAUAUCAGAAGAGAUAUCCCGGAUUCUAGCUAUCGGCUUUAUCAUGAAAGUGUUGCAUCCUGACUGGUUGGCCAACCCGGUCAUGGUCGAGAAGAAGAAAGAUGACCCAACUGCUGCUAAGGUGUGGCGCAUGUUUAUCGACUACACUAGCCUGAACAAGGCAUGCCCUAAAGAUCCUUUUCCGUUACCUUGGAUCGAUCAUGUGAUCGACUCCACUGUCGGGUGUGAGUUGUUGUCUUUUGUAGAUACGUACUCUGGUUUUCACCAGAUACCGUUGAAUCCUAAUGAUCAAAUAAAGACAUCAUUUAUCACCCCAUUUGGAGCUUAUUGCUAUCGUACUAUGCCGUUUGGUUUGAGAAAUGCAGGGGCCAUUUACCAAAGGUGCAUGCAGAAAUGCUUGCACGACCAACUCGGCAAAAACAUGCAGGUAUGUGUCGACGAUGUCGUCAUAAAAACCAAAAAUAGCAUCACGCUGCUGGAUGAUAUCCGAGAAACAUUUGCAAACUUGAGGAGAUUCCGAAUGAAGUUAAACCCGGCCAAGUGCACAUUCGGUGUGCCGGUAGGAAAGCUACUCGGAUUCCUUGUGUCAAGCCGAGGUAUAGAAACAAAUCAUGUGAAAAUUGCCGCCAUUGAGAGAAUGAAGCUGCCAAAAUGUCUCAAAGAUGUGCAAAAAUUCACUGGAUACUGAUCAUCAUUAAGUCGUUUCGUUAGUCGGCUGGGUGAAAAAGCAAUGCCCCUAUACCAGCUGAUGAAGAAAACCGACAAAUUUGUGUGGACACAACAAGCAGAGGUAGCCUUCCAAGAACUGAAGAAGAUGAUCGCUACGGCGCCGAUAUUAGCCUCGCCAAUGGCACAAGAGCCAAUGCUGUUGUAUAUAGUAGCAACAAACUAAGUUGUCAACGCCGUCAUAGUGGUGGAGAGAGAGGAAGAUGGCAAGUCGGUACAGAGGCCCGUAUAUUACUUGAGUGAGGUGUUGUCAUCAUCAAAAUAGAAUUAUCCUCAUUACCAGAAGAUGGCGUACCGUGUUUAUAUGGCGGCAAAGAAGCUGAAGCAUUAUUUUGAUGCACACCAGAUCAGGGUAAUAUGUGAAGCGCCUAUCUCGGAAAUCAUGAGCAACAAAGAUGCAAGCGGCCAAAUAGCUAAAUGUCCUAUUGAGUUAGCACCCUACACACUGCAGUACGACAGACGAGAUGCUGUGAAGUCUCAGGCGCUGGCAGAUUUCUUGGUGGAUUGGGCCGAGAUGGGAUAUGAACCACCACCACCUGAAACCACUUAUUGGAAAAUGCAUUUUGAUGGCUCCAAAAUGAAAAGUGGGCUUGGCACCGGCAUAGUUCUCACCUCGCCCAAGCUUGACCAGUUGAUGGCGCCAGUUGAGUAUGAGGCGCUUGUUCACGGACUGAAGAUGGCAAAAGAGAUCGGUGUUCGCCGGAUUCAGUGCUUUGGUGAUUCCGACUUGGUGAUCCAGCAAGCCUCUGGUAAUUGGGAAACAUUAGAUGCCAACAUGGCAUUAUAUCGCUUUCAUGUGCAGAAGAUCAGCGACCACUUUGAAGGGUGUGAAUUCUAUCAUAUACCACGGAUGCAGAACGAGGCUGCCGACACUUUGUCGAAGCUAGGAUCGACGCGGCAGGCCAUCCCGGCUGGCAUUGCGUUGGAACAUCUGCGCAAGCCGUCACCUGAAUCGGAAUCGAUAUUUAUUCCGGCAAACUCGGAAGCUGACGUCACUCCAAUGGAUAUUGACAGUGGCUCCGGCAACCCGGGGACUGAGCGUCCUAACUCGGCCGAAGCAAUGGCGAUUGAAUCAAUGGAGGUAGAUGAGCCAAUUUUCAUAACUCGCCCUGUGCCGGCUUGGGCACAACCGAUAAUGUCGUACCUCAAAGAUGGGAGUAUGCCGGAAGAGGAAGUGUCGGCAAGGCAAAUUCAGAGAAGAGCAAAAGCAUACACCAUUAUCAACGGUGAGCUACAUAAGAGAAGUGUCACUAAUGUGUUGGAACGUUGCGUUGAGCCAGAAGAAGGACAAGAAAUCCUCCGGGAUAUUCCAGGAGAGUGUUUUCAACAUGCAUCCUCAAGAACAUUGGUGGCCAAGGCAUUUCGGCAUGGGUUCUACUGGCUGAGUGCAUUACAGGAGGCGGAAGAUAUGGUCAGGAAGUGCAACGGUUGCCAGAGAUAUGCCAGCAAGAUUCAUAUGCCGGCAUCUGAGCUCAAGACUAUCCCAAUCACUUGGCCAUUUGUUGUUUGGUGUUUGGAUAUGGUGGGGCCCUUCAAGCGGGCACAAGGAGGCAUGACGCAUAUCUUGGUCAUGGUGGACGAGUUCACCAAAUGGAUUGAAGUGAAGCCAAUACGGAAAUUUGACGGCAAGACCACGGUGUCGUUUUUAAAAGGAUAUCAUCUUAAGAUAUGGCUACCCGCAUAGCAUCAUCACGGACAAUGGAACAAACUUCGCAGAUGGAGCUUUUGCGCGAUUCUGCACAUAGAUGAAAAUCCGGCUUGAUGUUGCCUCAAUAGCACAUCCUCCGUCCAACGGGCAAGUUGAGAAGGCAAACGGCAUGGUCUUAGCCGGUAUAAAACCUCGGUUAGUUGAGCCACUGGAACGCACUCCAGGAUCCAUGGGCUAUACGCCAUUCUUCCUCGUAUACGGGGCGGAAGUUGUAUUACCAGCCGAUAUCCAGCAUGAGUCUCCGUGAAGUAACCAUGUAUACGGAAGCCGAGGUAAAGGAAGCCCGAGAAAAUGAUGUCGACCUGCUCGAAGAAGCACGGGAAUUGGCCUUGUCCCGGUCAGCCAUUUAUCAACAACACCUUAGGCGUUAUCACAGCCGGAAGGUAAAUCCGCGGGUGUUCCAGGAAGGAGAUCUUGUGCUCCGGCUUACGCAGCACAUGGCCGGCAUGCGUAAAUUAUUACCUCCAUGGGAAGGACCUUUCAUUGUGAGCAAAGCGCUGCACAAUGAUUCGUACUAUCUUAUAGAUGCGGAGGACCCCAAUGCAAACAGGAUGGACAGAUCUGACGAGGAAACCAAGAGGCCAUGGAAUGUAGCUUUGCUUCGUCCGUUCUAUACUUGAGACAUGAGUAUUUGUAUCGCUUUUUCCUUAUGUCGAAUAUUUUGAAACAAUGAAUUAUCCGCCAAGUUCUUAAAAGAAACUCGGGGACUCCCAUGUUAUAUGAAUGUUGUGUUACAUUUAUCUAUUUUGUAUGUCAGCCUGGCUUGAUUGUGUAAUCUUAUGUCAGUCUAGUACUGUGUCGGUACUGAAAACUCUCUCUAUGACUUAGUUGUUGUCCGCAACCCGGCUUCAUGGCAAGCUGGAGCAUGAGUACGAAGUUAUAGAACACAUGAAAAGCUAUUGUCGAAAUAAGCAAACGAGCGAGCCGAGAUGUGUGUCAUUUUCUCUAACCCAACACUCUUUUUCUAUACUGGGCAUUUCCAGGCAAAUUUCAUGAGUUUGAGAUUUUUUGAAAGUUCUAUUCUAUGACUUCCUGAUUCAUACGUCGAACGCCGACAAGGCAGACAAAGAGCCGAGGUCAUAUAAUUGAACCAACAGAAAAAUAAACUCGGGGACUCCGCUGGGAACUCGAUAACUUGUGGCAUAAACUAAUUCAAACCAUUGUGCAUCACAAUAAGACUACUUCAAAGUGUUUACAUCUGCACCCGGCAUCCCGGGGAUCUAACAAUUUUAAAAGUUUUGCUGACAUCAAUGGGCUAGAGUUCAGGUUGCAGGAUCGUUGGUGCUGGUGCUCGGAGCAUCUGUCUCGGCGGGAGGUCACUCGGCGACAAUCUCUUCGUCCACGUCUUCUUCUUCUUCCUCGGCCGCCUCUUCGUCUGUGUCCGAUCUCAGACCCUCCACAAAGGAAUGCACAUCAGCAUAUUGGAUGAAGGAGUAGGCCCGCUCUUGAUGUUUUGCAAUCAACUCUAGAUCCGAGAGAAAGGGAGAGCCGGCACGCAUGCAUUGCAGCACGUCGAACUUAGUGCCGUCGUACCAAGAGAGUACGAACGAUAGUGCCCCGUCGGCGCCGACACGAGCGGCCGACUCCCGCCCCUCGCUAAGCCGGUCCUCCACCUCCAGCUGACGCUUGGCCAAGUCCGAGAUGGCACUUGGUGCGUCCUCUCCCGGCCAAAGAGCUCGGAAGA